RNAcentral lists this long non-coding RNA (82900 nucleotides) under Amborella trichopoda. RNAcentral's name for it is "long non-coding RNA (ATRI_LNC001473)". Lineage: Eukaryota; Viridiplantae; Streptophyta; Magnoliopsida; Amborellales; Amborellaceae. The record is from RNAcentral.
GAUUUUUGAGGUGCAUCUUAAAUCUACAUUUUAAGGUUGCAACCAUAUACAAACUUUUUUCUUUAAAAAUACAAAGUAUUAACAUAUUUCCUGCCAUCAUCUUGGUCCGACUGGCUAAAGAAAAGAAAAUAGAUUUUAGAUCUUUUCUUAGAUCUGAUGUCUCAAAGUAUUUUAUUUUUAGUUUUUUUAUACAAAUGGUAUGAAUAUGAAAUUUGGUACAUAUAGUGAAAAUUGUAUAUUAAUUUUAAUAUUUUUUGUAUAUACGAUUAAGCAUAAAUUUUAAGCAUUUAUAUUCUCACCAUAAUGUUAAAUUAAAUAAAAUAAUCAAAAUACCAUGACAAAUAAUAUUAAAAUUUUGGGGUUACCUUAACCCAUUGUUUUAUCUAUUGUAAAAUAUUUUUAGUAUUUUUUUAUAAACGUGAGAUGGUGAGAAGAAUCAACUCCAAAAAUUUGAGUUUAAUAUUGAAAAUAAAAUAAAUUAAAAUUCAGUGCACAUUUUAAACAAGGGGAAAGGUUUCUAUAUUUUUCCAAUGGCAUAGAAGAUCUAUGCUUUCGCUACCAUCCAGCCAUCCAAUUUUGAUCAAGAGAGCCACUCACUGUUUGAUCUUAGAUUUGAUGUCUCAAAGUAUUUUAUUUUUAGUUUUUUUAUACAAAUUGUAUGAAUAUGAAAUAUUUUAUCGAAAAAUUAUUUUUAAUAUUUUUUAUAGGCGCAUCCCAAUGAGAAGAUGGUACGUACCAAAUUUCAUAUUUAUACAAUUUGUAUAAAAGAUUUUAAAAAUAAAAUAUUUGAGAUGUCGGAUCUAAGAUCAAAUGGUAAGUGGCUUUCUUGAUCAAAAUUGAACUGCUGGGUGGUAGAAGAAGCAUAGAUCUUCCAUGAUAUAGGGGAAGUAUAGAAACUUUUCCCUUUUUUUAAAAUGUGCAUUCUAUUUUAAUUUUAUGUUAAUUUUAUUUUAAUUUUAUUUUAUUUUCUAUAUUAAACUCAAAUGUUAGGAGUUGAUUCUUCUCACCAUCUCACGUUUAUAAAAAAAUACUAAAAAUAUUUUACAAUAGAUAAAACAAUGGGUUAAGGUAACCCCAAAUUAUUUGUCAUGGUAUUUUGAUUAUUUUAUUUAAUUUAACAUUAUGGUGAGAAUAUGAAUGCUUAAAAUUUAUACUUAAUCGGUUAUACAAAAAAUAUUAAAAUUAAUAUACAAUUUUCACUAUAGAAAUAUAGUGAAACUAUUUUUUAUUUUUGAAAAUAAAAAUGAAUUCUUUUAUUAAUUUCCUAUGUUUUAUACCUCUACGAUAAGCCCGAAAUUUCGGUCACAUAUUCGUCAGCCCGGCUCCGUCCCCGCUCGUACCGGCAUGCACAUGCAAACGAAAAAAAAAAAGAAAAGAAAAAAAGGGACUUUUAGAGCCAGUGUAUCUUGUCCCUUGCAUAUUAAAUAAAAAACAAAUCUAACCGACCAUCUUCGACACGUUGUUGGUUAAGCUUUUACAUUGUGGGUUAAUAGUCGCAGCACGCAAGCAAAUUGUGACUCACUAAACAUAUUUAUAUAGUUUUUAUUUUGAAAAUUUUUAUCAUUUUAGCUGAACAAUUUAAUACCUUACCUAACCUUUGCUUCAAUUUUAAGAUACCCAUGAAAAAUAUUGAAUACUUAAUCUUUUAUAUGGAUUUUGAUACCUUUUCCCUUUUUUUUUUUUUUCUCUUUGAUUAGAUGGAUUUGAUGCUUUCACACGUAGUUAUCAACAUCGGAACGGAUUGACUGUCUGUUUGAUUAGACUAAUAACUAGUAUUUUGGCCAGUCUAGCCUAGAAUAAAAUUAGAUUUAGUAAAAGAAGGUCAAACACUAAUGUUUGAACCAUUUUAAGCAGUUCGGUUGGUUUAGACAAUCUCGAUCGGCCAAACAAAAUAGGUAUUUUUUUUUUUUAAUAUAUUAUGUAUUUAUAAAUUAUUAUAUUUAUUUUUAGUGUUUAACCAACAGUAAGACUAAUUUUAAUUGAACCAAAACUCUCACAAAUUCAUUAGCCAAUAUGAUCUAGAAAACACAGCCUUCGCAUGUGUUUUAACCAUGCACCAUUGAUCUUAUGACUACAAAAAAAAGAAGGAAAAGCAAGGAAUUAACCUACCUAAUACGUACAUUCCCAUUGACGAUGUUUCUUUGUUUGAUUCACAAUAAUAAUAAUAAUAAAUAAAUAAAUAACAUUAUCAUUAAAAAAGGGAAAAAAUUAUUUAAGGGGUCAAAUACCUAAAAACUAAUUUACAAAUGGAAAAAGCUUAUACAAGGUGUCACCUUUAUAUUGUACAAGUAAAGUGCACUUAAAAAAAUACUAAAGAAGGUUGUUUUGAUGCUGAAAAACUCUCAAAUCAGUCAUCUCGACUUUGAGAUUCAUAGACAUGAAAAAUAUGGGAUUUCUAAUCCUAAAAAUAGUUUAUCUUUUAACACUAUUUAAACCGUUCAUUUUCAAGAUUUUCAAGUGUUUAUAGAUUUGCUUGAUUAUCACCAUUCUGGAACUUUAAAGUUCAUAAUCGGGAAAAACAAUAGAUUUUCAUGUCAUUGCCAAGCGUUGUGGAACCAAAACUCCACUUUCAACAUAGUUUUGAGGUAAACGUUACUUCAAUAGUAUAAGGUUGAUACCUUAUACAAACCUCACCCACAAAAUUUUAUUCUUAAUAUAAUUAUAAAAGGAUAAAAUUAAGUAAAAUAAAAAUUAAAAAAUAAAUCCUUCUAAUAUUAAUUAGGAUAUUUUGACCAUCCUAUAAUUUUAUGAAGAGACUUGACCCCUUGAAUGACAAUUUUCCUAAAAAACUAUGAUAAACUUUGUUGCGAAACUUAUCAUAUUCCCUUCUAAGAUAUCGUUAGUUUUGGAAACUUUAAUGAGAUAAUGGUAUUCCACCAAUUAAUUUGGAUGAAAAUUUACUAGUGGCCAUCGAUAUUUUAUCUAAUGUGAUACAAUUUUUACGAGAAAUUUUUUAAAAUAUACCCUGAACCAUUUGAUAAAAUUGUAUCUUUUUUAUUUAAUUUCAAAAAUUGAUAAAGAACACAUUAGGGGUGGCUACGGGUUGGGUCGAGUCCGGAUCUGGCGACCCGAACCUGAAAGAAUGAUAUGGGACCCGAACCCAAAUCUAGACUUGAAUAGUAUUCAGAUCCAAAAUUUUAACCCAAACAUGACCUGUUGGGUCCAAUUUUUUGGACCCAUAUCCUGUCUAUCCCUCAAGCCCCUUAUCGGGUCUGGUCGCAGGUCCAUUGCCACCCUAGAACACUUGAUAGUGAGUUGGAAUAGUUGAAAACGGGUAAUAUGUAACGUCUCUAUUUAAGGUUGACUGGAAAUUUGUCGGUUUUAUCAUUCCAUCUUUCAAUAAACUAUUUUGAAUCUUCAAUAAUAUCAUCUCCUUUAUGACCAUUGAAUUCUAUAUUGAUGACUUCCUAUUACUCAUUAGUUUCGUUCUUGCCAUAUGACCUAAAUUCGAAUAGUGAAAUACUCUCCAAAUACUAAGGCCUUGUUAUAGAACUAUUUUUUUAACCAAUUUUGGUGGUUUCAAAUUUCCAUAUAAGUACUUGAGAAACCCUGCAACAAAGGCACGUGCUAUGAAAUAUUAUCGUUAUCUCAGAUGCUAUUUGUUGUUCAUCGACAAUGACAUUUUUCGGAAGAGAGGCUGGGUAUGAAAUAUUAUCGUUAUCUUAGAUGUUAUUUGUUGUUCAUCGACAAUGAAAUUUUUCAGAACAGUGGCUCGGUUGUGGUGGUAGCACCCCUACAUCUUAGUUAUCACGAUGCAGUUUCUAUUCCUUCUAAUAUCUUGAGAAAAAAGCCCUCUAAUAUCUUAAAAAAAAAAGCCAAUAGUUGUUUGUUUUUCAUCCCUACUCAACCCAGUAUUUGACUAUUUGGUCCAAGUCCCAAGUACUUGAUCUCACCUCCAUAUGGUCCGAGUCCCAAGUACUUGAUCUCACCUCCAUGAUUAGCCCGAGUUUCUUCGAGUUAGGUGUCUAGGUAUAUUAAACUUUUCUAAAAAAUAUAAUAAAAUCUAAAAAAAUAAGAAAUUUAUUUGUGAUAUGGAAGAAGCUCACUAGCUCACAUAAUAGUAUAUGGGCCUAAUGGCUCAUAUCGAAUUUGGGCCGAUCUGACAGUCGAGAGUAUUUGAAUUUUAAUUUUUUUUUCUACAAAUCCAAAUCACUUGAAAUUUAUUAUAAAUAUUCUACUCAUCAAGCCGUACCUAAUAAAAAUAUAAAAAAAUAAUACUAGUAAAUUAAAAAUGGCCAAAAUACCCAAAAAUUUAUGGGGUAUUUUAUCAUUUUUCAUGUAAAAUAUUUUUUUAAUAUUUUUCAAAUAUUCACCUAUUUUUUAUCAAUACAUAUCUAAAAUUUCAAGUGAUUUGGAUUUGUAGAAAAAAAAUUAAAAUUCAAACACUAUCGGGCAUCCGUGAUCGUUAGAUCGGCCCAGAUUCAAUCUGGACUAUCGAGCUCAUUUUUUGUUGUGAGCCCAUUAGCUCACAAAAGCCUUUUCUUAUAUAUAUUUCUAUCAUUUUGAUAAAGAUUGUAAAGUGUUUUGGCUAUAAAUACUUAUGUUUACAUUUUCCAUCUCAUUUGAAUAUUUCAAAAAUAUCCCCAGUCACAGUUGUUUUUUUUUUAGCUAUUUUUUUACUACUUUUUUUAACCUCAUUUUGAUGUGUUUUGCUUAAUAUUCAUGUGGCCAAGAGGAAAUUCCUUUAAAAUAUUUAUUGUUUGUUGUAGUAAGUAGUUUGAAAAUGAAACUCUGAUAAUGAUAAGCUUUCAAUCUUUAGAUUUUACUAUAAUUUUCUCAUGCACUUUCUUAAUGGUUUAGAUUAAAAAGGAAGAAAAUAGAUGACCACGAUUGUAUUUUAAUGUUUAAUUGUUGUAUAAAUUGGAUUUGUUUACCUUCUAGCCAUCGAUACUUCUCAAUAAGCCACACCUACAAAAUAUAAAUAAAAAUUACAAAAAAAAAUUAACCAAAAUAUCUAAGAAACAUUCAAAGAUAUUUUGAUUAACUUAUUUUUUAAUUAUCUUUUCAUAUUUUUUAAAUAUUCCUAAGCAUGAUAUAUACCUUUUAAAUUUCAUUUCAAUCUAAUUUAUAAAUAAAAUAAAAUAAAAUAAAUAAAUCAAUCUUGAUUAUCCAUUAUAUUCUCUUCUUCUAAUAUGAGGGGUGUCCACGCAUGCAUAAUGGUUUAGCAAAUAUUUGACAUUUUGAAGUUACCUUCAUCAAUUAGGCAUGUCAAAAAUUCCAAAGCUUAGAUGGCUUUUCCACCCAUUACAACCCAUGCCACUUUACUUGAGAGAGAGUGAGAGAGUCGGACCCAUUAAAUCAUGUCACUUUUGUUGAGAGACAGUCCGUAGACCCUAAACCUUUGUUUUGUUGGGACAGGGGCUGUGUCGUGGUGGUAGCACCCAUCUAUUUAGUUAUCAUGUUGUGGUUUUCAAUUCCACCGACAUUAUAAACUGAUGUUUUCGAAAAAAUUAACAUUUAAUUUAUUUUUAAAAAACAAGUACGGACAUGUCUUUUUCAGGAAACUACCUAAAAAUAUAAAAAAAUCUUUAUACCCAUUAAAAAAUCCUAUGCCACUUUGUUGAGAGAGAGCCUUUAGACCCAUUAAAUUUUAUGCCACUUUUGUUGUGUAAGAGAGAGAGGAGUCUUUAAACCCAUUAAAUCCUAUGCAGAGAGAGUCUUUAGACCCAUUAAAUCCUCUGCGACUUUGUUGAGAGAUUUUGGUUUUUUUGUCUAAUUCAAUGUGGAUGACAUUUUUUUGGCUAAUUCAAUGUGGAUGACAGGCCCUACCUGUUUUUUAAUUAAUUAAUUUUUUAUAUUGUCAGUGGAAAUGGAAGCCGUGCACUGAAAUAUGAGUGUGAAAAUAGAAGAUGCAAAAUGCAACUGAGAUAUAAGGUCUAUUAUACGACCACGACCUCAUAACCUUUCCCAAGGGAAAAUCUUUGAGAGGGAAAAAGAGAUUUUAUUUGAUUUUACCAUGCCCUAAUUUAAAAAAGGAAAAAGUUUAUAUAAGGAUGCAACCUUAUAAUGUUGAAUUACGGAUGCACUUAAAAAAUCCAUCAAAAAAAAGUAGUUUUAAUAUUGAAAAACCUUUUGAUUGAUUAUCUCGACAUCAAGAUGUAUGACCAUAAAAAAUAAAAAGACUUUAAAUCUCAUAAAUAGUACAUUUUACAACAUAUUAUCUACAUUGUCCAUUUUCAAGAUUUUCAUAUGUUUAUAAAUCUACUUGAUUUUAAUCAUUUUUGAAAUUUAAAAUUUUAUACACCUUACCUGUACACCAACGGAUGGAUCCGUAUGACAACUGCACCCUUAAAAAAAAGCUUAUCUUAAUGGACAUUUUGUAUCUAUUGGAGUGCCACUUUCUCCACCGACUCAUCCCACUUCAUGCCAUUUAUAUUUCAUCAUUUAUUAUUCCUUCCAAAAAUUUUAACGCUAUUGUUCAUUUUUAUAUGCUUUUCCUGAAUCUUAUUACCCUCUCCAGUUAUUCUCACGGGAAAUUCGUCCGCCCUUUACACGUUAAUGCAGCACCGAAAUUUCGCCGAAAAUUUAGAAUUUUGCCCCUCAUUUUAGAAAAGAUUUCCGUUAUUUUUGGAAAGCAAAAUAUCUCAAGAUGGGAGAGGCAGAAAGUACCCUUACCUUUUCAAUUUAAGACAGAAUAACGUCCCUAAUUUGAUAUUUUAAUGAUUCCUUUUCGUAUAUCCAAGGUUAUUUAAGAUUGACAACUCAUGCAAUUUCAAGCCCUAUAAGCUAUACCCAUUGCAUUUGGACGAUUUUUUAUCCCGAUUGUCGAUUCGGAUGGGAAUGGGUCAAGAUUAAAUUGGUUAUCGGAUGGUGUGGGUCACAGCUCAAUUUUCCCUCCUAUAUAUUAUUAUUAUUUUUUAUUUUUUAAACUUGUUUAAUAUUUUUUUUAAAAAGUCCCUUUAAAUCUCUACCCAUAAACCUCUAUUUUCAUUUUAUUUUUUAAUAUUUUUUUAUCUGCAAUUUGGAUUGACUCAGACUUGAUUUGGACUGCCAAUCAAAUGAUCCAACAUGGAUUUGUGACCAAACCAUCAAUAUGAGUUUUAAAACAUUGAUCUCGACUCCGUAUUUUCAAGUGUUCGUAGAUUUGUAAUCAAGGGCAUAAAUUAGAGAUUUUAAACCAUCAUUAGGGUUUCAACACUGGGACGGUAUCUUAAGGCAGAUCUAUUAGGUGCGGUUGUAUUUUUAUGAUCAUAGUGCCGCGGCCUCACGCUAUCCCCAAGCUUCAUUAGAUUUCUUUUGUCAAAACUAAGCUUUCUUAUAUGGAAAAUUGAUUCACGAGGGCGGACCGCAUUUUUACAAUAUACGGUCCCAAGCGAUACACCAUCCAACUUCAAGAUGGAUGUAAAUAGGUGGUCCAUCUAAAACAUUUGAAACUAUCCAAAUGUUUUUUAAUAAAAUUAUUUAUAAUUUUCAAAUUUUAUUUAUUUAUUCAUAUUUAUGAUCUCCAUGUUAGAGAUUACGUAUCUUUAAAAAUUAAUUCUAAAAAUUCAUCUCAAAAAUAAUAUUUUAAGAGGUGAUUCAUUUCUAGGGACUCAUAGAAACUUGUGUCCUUGAAGUUCCACUAAAGAGAGCUUUGGACAUGGUUUCAAUGCGCCUUUGGACAUGGUUUCAAUGCGCCAACCUGCAUAGUUUAGAAAUGCAGGCUUGGCAAUAAAUAUAUUUUUAAAUAUAAUUUGAUCUUAAAUUUUAAAGAAUAUAUAAUUUUUGAUAUGGAGAUCAUGAAUAUAAACAAAAUAAAAAAUAGAAAUCAUAAUAAUAUUUAAAAACAUUUAAACUAUUAGUUACAAAUGUUUUUAGAUGGAUCACCUAUUUGCAUCUAUUUUUAAGAUGGAUGCUUUACACAUCUGGACCGCAUAGUGUAGAAAUGUGAUCUAGCCCGCAUCAAACCAUUUUUCCUUUGAGUUUUUGUGUUUUUGAUAAAGGUUGGGGCAAAUAUAUAUUUUACAAGAAAAUGACUUUACAAUACCUGUGAUGAAAAAUACCUAUUUAAAUUACACUUUACAAUAUUGCCCUUACGCUUAAGUAAAAUUGAACGGGCGGAUUUCAUCUAAACUCGUACGCGGCAGAUCCAACGGACUAGAUUGACGGAAGAUAUCCAAGGGAAUGUGGCGUGUCAAAACAAAAGUUCGAUUUACUCUAACUGAAAGUAAAAAGUCUAAAACAACCCUAACGAACUGUCCACAUGCCCCAACUACUCAAUCUUCAUGUGUUCCGAAAAUGUCCUCACUUUUUUUCAAAUAUAACAAUUACAACCUUCGUUUGAAUGAGAGGGCUUCUUGUGGAAGUGAGAUGCAUCGAUUGUAUGAGACGAUUUAUUUUUUGUACAAGGUGGUGAUGACUACUCUUAUUCAAUUCGAUGUGAAAUCCGACGAUUUAAAGUGUGCCACAAUAAUCGAAAAAUCUUAUUUUAUACUUUUUACAUAAUCAAUGAUGAGGGGUGGUAACCGAGUUAGGUAUAGGUCGGGUCACACCGGAUCCAUACCUAGACUUGGAAUACCACUAAUGGACCUGUACCCGAUGGGUCCAAAGAAUUCAGACCUGUACAUGUACUCGGGAUAUGAAUUAAGACCCAAGAACUGGACCCAUGACAAAAAUAAGUAGAUCUUAUUUUUAAUGCACAAUUCUGUAAAAAUUUCCAAAUUUCGUUUUUAAUGCAUAAUUCUGUAAAAAUCUCCCAAAUUUUCUUAAUGCAUCUUCUUCCGCAGAUAGAAAGUUCCUAAAAAAAACCCAAUUAAAAUGGCAAAAAAAAAGCACAAAAAUCAAAUAGAGACUUUCAAUUUUUGUUGAUCUUCUACCUCAUCAAGAUACAAAAAAAGAAGGCAUGAAAGUCAAAUAAAACCUUGCCAUUGUUGCUGACAUCAAGAUGCCAAAAGGAGAAUGCACAAAAAUCAAAUGAAAACUCACAAAAAGAAUACACAAAAAUCAAAUAAAGACUUGUCAUUUUUGCUUAUCAAAGAUCCAGUUUGGAAGAGAAAUAGGGUUUGGUCGGCCGCAUUGUAUGAGAGAGAGAGAAAAUGCAAAUCUACAGUCAAAGCUUCGAAGAUCGGAUAGACUCAGAGCUUGGCCAACUAGGGUUUUUGUGGUUGAAGCUUCGAUUUGAGAAAGGGACAGAGCUUUAAAGCGUUAACGCUUCAGCCAAAUAGGAGGAGGUAGGGUUUGCAUCAAUGUUCGUAAAAUUGAACUGGAACGUUUAAUUGGACAUGGGCUUAGAAGCAGUUUAACCGGGCUAGUCGGUAAACUAGCCGAUUCAAUCUCUCUAACCAGACAAGUCCUGGGUAGUUAAAAGUGUUGAAAAAAAAAAAAAAAGACUAAAAUAUGAAAAAUAUAUAAAUAAUGAUUAAAACAAAACACAUUCAAAUGAAGUUAAAAAUUAAUUAAAAAAAAUGGAUUUUAGCUCAUUUUAUAUUUUCCAAUGGCUAUUUUAAAAAUUUUAUAAAAAAAAUGAGAAAAUAUAAAAAUGAGUUUUAAUGACCAAAACAAAUUUUAAUUCACCAUAAUGUAAAUAAUAUUUAAAAAUGCAUUACAAAUCAAAUUCCUAAUUUUUGAGAAUUUAUAUACAUUUUUUUGAAUUUAUUUUUUUAAAAUAUCGGUUGAUCACGCUAAACGCCCAAAACCGGAAUCAGACACUAGCCGGUUCCGAUUCCGAUCUAAACUGGCAGUUAGCGGUUAGAUCAUGUAAUUUUACGAACAAUAGUUUGCGUUUGGGAAGGGAAUUGGGGAUUUAGGGUUUGUCCAUAAAAAAAAUUUAAAACAUGAUGGUUUAAGUUUGUUUAAUUAGGGCUAAAUAUAAUUAGUUAGGUUAUAGUUUAGUUAGAUAAUUAUGUUUGAAAAUAUAUAAUAUGAUUUUAAUUGAAUAAUGAAUUCUUAAUCUUUAUAUACUUAAAAUCCUAAAAAUAUUUACUUAAUAACUUAUAACUAUCGAAUUAGGUACGAGGCGGGUCCACCAAUACCCGUAUUCGUACUUGAGGCGGGUCCACCAAUACCCAUAUCCAUACUCGAAACCCGUAUCCGUACCCGAGGCGGGUCCACCAAUACCCGUAUCCAUACCGAAAACCUAUACUCGUACCCGAAAAUUUUUGGGUAUGCAUCGUUGGACCCGGACCCGCACUCGGACCUGAUUCAGGUAUAUCCACCGGGUCCCUGGUUGGGUACGGAUCCAUUACCAGCCCUAUGACUGGUUGGGUACGGAUCCAUUACCAGCCCUAUCAAAGACACGUUCCAAAUAAUGAUUGUAUCUUCUUAUACCAAAGGUAAAUAGUCUUAUCGUUUACAUUUCCAUUAGAAAAAAAAGAAAAAGGGGUUACUGUCUUGGCUGCUUUGACUUGUGAUCCACCGUGAUCCACCAUCUAUUUGACUGUCUUUUAAAUCAUGUAGAAUCCGGAUGGGGGUCAAAUAAAGUGGGCUUAUAAAGGGCCAAAUGUGUAGAAUCCGGAUAGGGGUCGAAUAGAGUGGGCUAAUACAGGGCCAAAUGUGUUAACUGCCUGUAUAUGGAAAACUUGGAGGCCAUCUUAAUGAUCUCAAUUUAAGAUGAAACUUAUUAUUUUAUUUUUUUUGUAUUUUUUUUUGGGUAGUUCAGUUAGGAAGGAGUCUCUUAAUCUCUAUAGGAAUUAAAUUCAAGACAUGUACCAGCAUUGAUCCAAUUAGGUAACGUCUCGAAAACUUCUUAUUAAUUAACUACCAUUACAACUUGCAAAAUACUAAUUAACGACAAUUGCAACUUGCAGAAUGCUAGAUAUUGAAUGACCUCUAUUAAAGUUCGAGAGAGCAUGAGCACAGAGAAGAAGAGAGAUCACACAAGAUUAUGAAAAGAAGACAGAUAACACACGAUUAUGAAAAGAAGAGAGAUAACACAAGAUUAUGGAGAUGAGAAGAAGAGAGAUAACACAAGAUUUACGUCGUUCAGAUCAAAGCCUUACAUCCACGGAUCCAAAGCCCAAUAGCUACAUCUUCAAUAUUUGGAUAAAAGAUUACACAAAUACGUACCUCUAUAUAUAGAGAAUAAUUACAAUGAAUCUUAGAGAUAGAGGAAAAUAAUAUGAGAAUAUUGGAGAUAGAGAAAAAUAAUACGAGGUUAUCACUAAUAACUUAUCUUCAAGACUCCUCAUCUUCAACACUUCCCUCAAGUUGGUGUUGGUACACAGAGUGAAGUGAAGUGGUUUUGUUUUUACUCGCCUCUUUCACGUUGAUGGUCUUGUUUUUACUUGGCGGAGAUAGAGGAAAAUAAUAUGAGGUUAUCACUAAUAACUAACUUGUCUAUCUUCAAUACUCCCUCAAGUUGGUUUUGUUUUUACUCGCCUCUUUUGAGUUGAUGGUUUUGUUUUUAUUCGAAGGAGAUAGAGGAAAAUAAUACGAGGUUAUCACUAAUAACUAACUUCUCUAUCUUCAACACUCCCCUGAAGUUGGUGUUCUUCAACACUUCCCUCAAGUUGGUGUUGGUGUACGGAGUGAAGCGAACUGGUUUUGUUUUUACUCGCCUCUUUUGAGUUGAUGGUUUUGUUUUUACUCGGCUCUUUCGAGUUGAUGUUUGAGUUUUUUGAGUUGUUUUUACUUGGCUUCUUUCGAGUUGAUGUUUGAGUUUUUCGAGUUGGGGGCCGGAGUUCUUUCGAGUUGAUGUUUGAGUUUUUCGAGUUGGGGCCAGAGUUUUUGAGUUUUGUUGCGGAGGUUGCGGAGGUUUUUUUUGCAUGACACUAGUGCCAAAGGUUUUAUUUUGUAUGCCGGGGUUUUGAGGUUUUUCUUUUGCGCGGCACAAGACUUGGGGCGGAGGUAACACUCAACUUAAGUACCGGAGUGCCAGAGUUCACACUCAACUUAAGACUUAGUUCACACUCAACUUAAGACUUAAGUACCAGAGUGCUAGAGGUUUUCUUUUGCCGUGCAAAACACUCAAGUGCCGGAGGUUGCGCAGCACAACACUCAAGUGCUAGAGGUUGCGCAAGACAAUACUCAAGUGCCGAAGGUUGCGCAGCACAACACUCUAGUGCCGGAGGUUGCGCUGCACAACACUCAAGUGCCGGAGGUUACGCAACACAACACUCAAGUGCCGGAGGUUGCGUAGCAUAGUGCUAGAGGUUUUCUUUUGCCGUGCAAAACACUCAAGUGCCGGAGGUUGCGCAGCACAGAGCCAGAGGUUUUCUUUUGCCGUGCAAAAGACUCAAGUGCUUGAGGUUGCGCAGCAUAACACUCAAGUGUCGGAGGUUGCACAACACAAUACUCAAGUGCCGGAGGUUGCACAACACAACACUCAAGUGCCGGACGUUGCGCAACACAACACUCAAGUGCCGGAGGUUGCGCAACGCAACACUUAAGUGCCGGAGGUUGCACAGCACAACACUCAAGUGUCGGAGGUCGCGCAGCACAACACUCAAGUGUCGGAGAUUGAGCACAACACUCAAGUGCCGGAGGUUUUCUUUUGCGCGGGCAACUUAAGUUGCCGGAGUGUCGGAGGUUUUCUUUUGCCGCGCAAAACACUCAAGUGCCGGAGGUUGCACGACACAACGUUAGAGGUUUUCUUUUGCAUGGCACAACACUUGGCCAGAGUACCGGAGGGUUUCUUUUGCCAACCAAAACACUAAGUGCACAACAACUUAAGUGCCGGCCUGAGUGCCGGACGUUUUCUUUUGCCGCGCAAAACACUCAAGUGCCGGUGCCGGAGGGUGCGCGGCUACUCAAUUGUCGGAGGUUUUCUUUUGGCGGGCGGAGGUAACACUCAAGUGCCGAAGGUUGGGCGGAGGUAACACUCAAGUACUAAGUGCCGGAGGGCUGGAGGUUGGGUGGAGGUAACACUCCAGUGUCUGGAGGGCCAGAGGUUGGGCGGAGGUAACACUCAAGUGUCCGGAGGGCCGGAGGUUGGGCGGAGGUAACACUCAAGUGUCGGAGGUUUCUUUUGUGCCCACAACAUUUGGGGCAGAGGUUUAGGUUAGGUUUUCUUUUGUGCGCCCCAACAUUUGGGGCAGAGGGAGGUUUAGGUUAGGUAUUUAGGUUAGAGGUUGAGGUUUAGGUUAGGUUUUCUUUUGUGGCCCACAACAGUCAGGGCGGAGGUUAAGGUUUAGGUUAGGUUUGCUUUUGUGCCACACAAAACUUGGGGCGGAGGUUUAGGUUUUCUUUUCUGCGUCACAACACUUGGGACUUGGGGAUUGAGGGGCUUAGGGCAGAGGUAGGUUUUCUUUUGCACCCCACAACACUUACACUUGGGGCGGAGGUAAAUGGGCGGAAGUAGGUUUUCUUUUGCGCAGGUUAGUGGGUGGAAGUAGGUUUUCUUUUGCACGGUACAACACUUGGUACUUGGUACUUGGGGCUUGGGGCUUAGGGGAGGUAGGUUUUCUUUUGCUCCCACAACACUUGGGGCGGAGGUAAAUGGGCGGAAGUAGGUUUUCUUUUGCGCAGGUAAGUGGGCGGAAGUAGGUUUUCUUUUGCACGGUACAACACUUGGUGGGCGGAGGUAGGUGGAGGGCGGAGGUUUUUUUUUGGGCGGCAAAAGGGUAGAGGUUUUUUUUUUUUACGGGACCCGCGGAGGUUUUUUUUUUUUUACGCGAACCAAGUAUGCGCAGGGGAGGCUUUUUUAAGCAGCAUAAUACUUGGGGCCGAAAGUUUGGGCCAUAAGUUUGAGAGAGCAUAUAUUAAAGUUCGAAAUUCGAAAUUCGAGAGAGCAUGUUAAAGUUCGAGAGAGCAUGUUAAAAUUCGAGAGAACAUCUUUACAGGAAGAAGAGAGAUAACACAAGAUUAUGGAAAGAGAAGAAGAGAUAUAACACAAAAUAUUAUGGAAAUAGAAGAAGAGAUAUAACACAAGAUAUUAUGGAAAUAGAAGAAGAGAUAUAACACGUAAAGCGCCAAAACCUUACCUCCACGAAUCCAAAGCUCAGUAGCUACAUUUUCACUAUUUGAACAAAAGAUUAAGAGAGUAUCCAAAACCCAAUAGCUACAUCUUCACUAUUUGAAUAAAAGAUUAAGAGAGUAUAUAUUAAAGUUCGAAAUUCGGGAGAGCAUGUUAAAGUUCGAGAGAGCAUCAACAUAAGAAGAAGAGAAGAGAGAGCAUCAAUACAAGAAGAAGAAAAAUAACAUAAGAUUAUAGGAAGAGAAGAAGAGAUAUAACACAAGAUUUACGUGGUUCAGGCUAAAACCUUACGUCCAAUAGCUACAUCUUCACUAUUUGAAUAAAAGAUUAUACAAAUACGUGCUUCUAUAUACAUACGACAAUCGCAAUGAAUCUUGGACAUAGAAAAAAAUAAUACAUCUUCACUAUAUGAAUGAAAGAUUAUACAAAUACGUGCCUCUAUAUACGUACGACAAUCACGAUGAAUCUUGGAGACAGAAAAAAAUAAUAAAAGAUUAUCUCCAUGAAUCUUGGAGAUAGAAAAAAAUAAUAAAAGAUUAUACUUGGAGAUAGAAGAAAAUAUAAAAGAUUAUACAAAUACGUGCCUCUAUAUAUAAAGGACAAUCACAAUGAAUCUUGGAGAUAGAAGAAAAUAAUAUAAUGCUUAUUCCCAAUAACCAACUUGAUCAAGCAAUUUGACUUUGUUUAUCUUCAACGACAUCUAAAAAACUUAUGAUCUAGAUGCCCGUAUCUAUCUUCAACAAUAUCUAAAAACUUCCACAUGCCCGUAUUUUGUCCAAUUGCAGUGAAAUCUUUGUCAAAUCCCUAGACUAUAAUGGAGGUAGAGAACCUACAAAACGAGAUCUCUGUCAUAUUAAUUAGGUAUUUGUCAUUAGUCUAUAAUUUAUUUUUAUUUUUUUUUUGAUUUAGCGGGCCGAUGAGGUAGACCAUGACCAGCCCAAUGCCACACCCUAGGUAUAGAUAUUAGAUAGUAAGACGCACCUCUAUCAUCCUAGUUUGGCCAAAACUUUUCUUAAAUUUGGAUAAUUUCACCGGAUCUGGUUUCUCAAACAAGGGAUGGGCCUGAUAUUUUAUUCAUUGUUGGGGUCGUACAAACGAAAACUACCCUAACUACCACAAACGCGCUUCCAAUAAAACUCAGCGAAGUUCACCGAUAUGUUCGUAAACGAACUAGGGUAUUUUCGUCCUUUUCUCACAACCGAAACUCUAUAAAAUGCCUCCUAUUUUUCAGAACCCGAAUCCCACUCCACACGGGGAAAAAGCUUCUUCGUCUUCCACUUUCUCUCUCUUCGUUCCCUCUUCGUUCCNNNNNNNNNNNNNNNNNNNNUUUUCUUUUGCCGCGCAAAACACUCAAGUGCCGGAGGUUGCACGACACAACGUUAGAGGUUUUCUUUUGCAUGGCACAACACUUGGCCAGAGUAUCGGAGGCCCAACCAAAACACUAAGUGCACAACAACUUAAGUGCCGGCCGGAGUGCCGGACGUUUUCUUUUGCCACGCAAAACACUCAAGUGCCGGUGCCGGAGGGUGCGCGACUACUCAAUUGUCGGAGGUUUUCUUUUGGCGGGCGGAGGUAACACUCAAGUGCCGAAGGUUGGGCGGAGGUAACACUCAAGUACUAAGUGCCGGAGGGCCGGAGGUUGGGCGGAGGUAACACUCCAGUGUCUAGAGGGCCGGAGGUUGGGCGGAGGUAACACUCAAGUGUCCGGAGGGCCGGAGGUUGGGCGGAGGUAACACUCAAGUGUCGGAGGUUUCUUUUGCGCCCACAACAUUUGGGGCAGAGGUUUAGGUUAGGUUUUCUUUUGCGCGCCCCAACAUUUGGGGCAGAGGGAGGUUGAGGUUAGGUGUUUAGGUUAGAGGUUGAGGUUUAGGUGGCGGAGGUUAAGGUUUAGGUUAGGUUUGCUUUUGUGCCACACAAAACUUGGGGCGGAGGUUUAGGUUUUCUUUUCCGCGUCACAACACUUGGGACUUGGGGAUUGAGGGGCUUAGGGCAGAGGUAGGUUUUCUUUUGCACCCCACAACACUUACACUUGGGGCGGAGGUAAAUGGGCGGAAGUAGGUUUUCUUUUGCGCAGGUUAGUGGGUGGAAGUAGGUUUUCUUUUGCACGGUACAACACUUGGUACUUGGUACUUGGGGCUUGGGGCUUAGGGGAGGUAGGUUUUCUUUUGCGCCCACAACACUUGGGGCGGAGGUAAAUGGGCGGAAGUAGGUUUUCUUUUGCGCAGGUAAGUGGGCGGAAGUAGGUUUUCUUUUGCACGGUACAACACUUGGUGGGCGGAGGUAGGUGGAGGGUGGAGGUUUUUUUUGAGCGGCAAAAGGGUAGAGGUUUUUUUUUUUUACGGGACCCACAGAGGUUUUUUUUUUUUUACGCAAACCAAGUAUGCGUAGGGGAGGCUUUUUUAAGCAGCAUAAUACUUGGGGCCGGAAGUUUGGGCCAUAAGUUUGAGAGAGCAUAUAUUAAAGUUCGAAAUUCGAAAUUCGAGAGAGCAUGUUAAAGUUCGAGAGAGCAUUUUAAAAUUCGAGAGAACAUCUUUACAGGAAGAAGAGAGAUAACACAAGAUUAUGGAAAGAGAAGAAGAGAUAUAACACAAGAUAUUAUGGAAAUAGAAGAAGAGAUAUAACACAAGAUAUUAUGGAAAUAGAAGAAGAGAUAUAACACGUAAAAGCUACAUUUUCACUAUUUGAACAAAAGAUUAAGAGAGUAUCCAAAACCCAAUAGCUACAUCUUCACUAUUUGAAUAAAAGAUUAAGAGAGUAUAUAUUAAAGUUCGAAAUUCGGGAGAGCAUGUUAAAGUUCGAGAGAGCAUCAGCAUAAGACGAAGAGAAGAGAGAGCAUCAGCACAAGAAGAAAAAAAAUAACACAAGAUUAUAGGAAGAGAAGAAGAGAUAUAACACAAGAUUUACGUGGUUCAAGCUAAAACCUUACGUCCAAUAGCUACAUCUUCACUAUUUGAAUAAAAGAUUAUACAAAUACGUGCUUCUAUAUACAUACGACAAUCGCAAUGAAUCUUGGAGAUAGAAAAAAAUAAUACAUCUUCACUAUUUCAAUAAAAGAUUAUACAAAUACGUGCCUCUAUAUGCAUACGACAAUCACAAUGAAUCUUGGAGACAGAAAAAAAUAAUAAAAGAUUAUCUCCAUGAAUCUUGGAGAUAGAAAAAAUUAAUAAAAGAUUAUACUUGGAGAUAGAAGAAAAUAUAAAAGAUUAUACAAAUACGUGCCUCUAUAUAUAAAUUACAAUCACAAUGAAUCUUGGAGAUAGAAGAAAAUAAUAUAAGGCUUAUUCCCAAUAAUCAACUUGAUCAAGCAAUUUGACUUUGUUUAUCUUCAACGACAUCUAAAAAACUUAUGAUCUAGAUGCCCGUAUCUAUCGUCAACAAUAUCUAAAAACUUCCACAUGCCCGUAUUUUGUCCAAUUGCAGUGAAAUCUUUGUCAAAUCCCUAGACUAUAAUGGAGGUAGAGAACCUACGAAACGAGAUCUUUGUCAUAUUAAUUAGGUAUUUGUCAUUAGUCUAUAAUUUAUUUUGAUUUUUUUUUCGAUUUAGCGGGCCGAUGAGGUAGACCAUGACCAGCCCAAUGCCACACCCUAGGUAUAGAUAUUAGAUAGUAAGACGCACCUCUAUCAUCCUAGUUUGGCCAAAACUUUUCUUAAAUUUGGAUAAUUUUACCGGAUCUGGUUUCUCAAACAAGGGAUGGGCCUGAUAUUUUAUUCAUUGUUGGGGUCAUACAAAUGAAAACUACCCUAACUACCACAAACGCGCUUCCAAUAAAACUCAGCGAAGUUCACCGAUAUGUUCGUAAACGAACAAGGGUAUUUUCGUCCUUUUCUCACAACCGAAACUCUAUAAAAUGCCUCCUAUUUUUCAGAACCCGAAUCCCACUCCACACGGGAAAAAGCUUCUUCCUCUUCCACUUUCUCUCUCUUCGUUUUCUCUCUUCAUUCUCGCUUCGUUCUCUCUUCGUUCUCUCCUCUCAUUAUCUCUCUUCUGGUUUUUAUAGGUUUCUUCUCUUUCCUCUGAUUCUUCCAUGGCAGGGAGCUUAGCUGUAGCUCUCGGAAAAUAGCUUUUUUCCUGUAUUUUGACCCUAUUUUCUAGGGGAAUUUCAAUCUCCUUUUCAGGAACCCUAAGUCCUCUGUGUGGUCAUACGUAUGAACUGGUUCGUUAACCUAGGGUUUUUUUCAAAUUCGAUACAUUUUAUUAUAACCUGUCUCUUGAUUUUUAUCCUCCAUUUUUCCCCUCAAUUACCUUCUAAUUUUGAAAAACCACUGAAUCAUCGGUUAUAUCUGGAGAGAUGGAGUUCAGAAAACGUGAGAGUGCUCAAUUGAAGAGAAGUAAGUUGAGAUUUAGAUUAUCAUCCCUUUUAAUUCAAAUAUAUAUGGGUUUUUCGUAGUUUGUCUUUUUUUUUAAAAAAUUUUUUUACUGCAUAUCUUAAUACUAAUUGCUUGUAGAGAUUGAUUUUAACUGUAUUUUGAAUUUGAAAUAAUAUUAAAUUGUUCCUUUUUUACUUUUGAUCUUUGAGUUGGAUAGCUCCAAACUACUGGGAUCUGAUGCUUAAGUUCUGUGUAAGCUGCUUUUUUUUUAUUAUUCGCAGUUGAUAGCAAAUGACUAUAGCUAAAAGGAGUUUAUGGUGCAUUAUUUUAUUUAGCUUAUUUUAUUUUGUGUAUAAUUAAUUAUUUUACUAUUUAAUAAUUUAAUAGUUAAUUAGUACAUGGUUAGGGAAGCAUGGAACUGGAGACUAAAUCAUGAAGUUUUAAGGACCUGAGUCAAAAAGUAUCUGGCCUAUUGCUUGCAAAUCCUAUAGCCAUUAGCUUUUGGUGGUUUUAUUUUUAUUUUUUAUCAUGAGAUUCUACAAAUGAAAAAAAGGAUUUUAAUAAUUAUAUGUAAAUAACAUAUUGUUAAAAAUUUAAUGAAUCUAUGCUAGUUUUUAAUCAUUUUUUAAAGCAGUAAAAAAAUCAUAUAUUUUUUUUCUUUUUUCUUUUUUGAGUUUUAAAAAGUUUAAUUUUUUAUUUGUUAAAUGUUUGAUUCAUUGGGUAUUUCAAGUUUGAUAAAUCUGUUUAUGUUCUUUGGAGCUAUAAAAUUUUGAGAUACAAUCAGGCGUGUGACCUUCUACAAGUUUUUUUCAUUUGGUACGGACAAAUUUAGGAUUUAAAGGUAAUUUGGUGUGGACAAAUUUAAGAUUUAAAUGUGGAUGACUGCCAUUGCAGAUUGCCUCUUGGGGAAGAAACACAACUUUGUGUUCCUUUUUCGUUAUACUUCUUUGUAAUAUAUGCAGUUAUGCACUAUUUACUGAAUUGCGCAUGUGCAUCCAUGACAAUGCGAUAUGCAUCAAUGUUUUUGAAUAAAAUAUGCAUGAUAAUUAAUUAUGCACACUGGAUAUGGUGCAUUGCAAUGUCUGAGUCUUAGAUAAUUCUUUUUGAAUGAUGACUCAAACUUUCCCUUAACCUGUCCCAAGCCCUAUAAAGGAGGUGGGUUGGUUAGGUUGGUAGCCAGCGUAGAACUUUGAAACAUCAUAUCAUGAAUCCUAAACCAAACAUGAUUCAUCUAGCCAAGCUAACAUGAAUCCUGGACUUGGACAGAGCCAAAACAGAAUAAAGUCGCCUAAGGUUUUCAAUUUUAGAAAAGAAACUUGACAAGUUCUUCUGUUUUGGAAAACAAGGUUUUGUUCCGACAAUAAGGCAUCGUUUUCUGAGAAUUAGGCGGUCAAGGUGGCGAGUGCCACAACACGACGCCUAGAGUUCCAUACUCACCAAGUCCAAAGUUAACAUUCAAAAGCAAUCUGCGAUUCUGCAUUAGGAUGCCUAACAUGAGAGUUCCCGUGCUUUGUUGGGGAAAUCACAAUAGAGAUGGAAAGAAUCCAAGGGCUCUUUCCAAAUAUUUUAUUUUGUAUCUAGGGGGUGGCAUUUCAGAAAGCCACUCCAUUUUGUUUGAUGUUGGCGAACAUUAGCUAAUACCUCCCCAUUGACCUCUAUAGUAACCUUGGUGCUGUUCCACGUUUUUGUAAUAAAAUGUCUAUCAUUAACCCUGCCUAAGAUUUGAACUUGAAGCCAAUUCUUUUAUGUAUAAAUUUCAGUAUAUUUAAUUAAAAGACUGAAAAAUAUUUAAUUAAAAAACUGAAACACUAGCCCAAACCUGGGUUUUUCCACAAUAACACUAGCCCAAACCUGGGUUUUUCCACAAUAAAACUUACUCAUUCACCCAAUUGGCUGAGCCAACUUGACUCAGAAUGAGUUUUUGAACUACUGAUUAAGAUGCACAAGUUCAUAUAUGUUUAUAAAUGAUGAUACGUAAUUGCACAUGCGGUGACAAGCUAUAAUAUUUCAUAUGGAUUUACACAUUGGAAUAAAAAAAGAAGUAAUCUAAAAUGGACCCAUGAAAUCAAUGCUGGGUUUUCUUCCAUGUGAUACUCAUUCUGUUAUUAAAUUCAAAUUCAAGUUGACAUAUUAACUUUCUGUGUGUUGUAAAGAAGAAGCAAUUUCUUAAGUUUUCAAUUAGGUUAAGCUGAAUGGAUUAUCUGUUACAUAUCUUGACUUUUCUACUUGCUAGUCCAAGACCCAUCAUAGUGUUAGCUCCUUUUAUUUCUAAUCUAAAACUAUGAACUUGUGACAUAGAUUUUAUUCAUGUCUUAACAAUGAUUAAAUCUUCAAAUUAAGAUUGAGGUGAAUGGCUUAACUGUGAAAUGUAGUGGACUUGGUAUUCAAUUAUUCAUCAAUGCUACAUAUUUUCUCAUUCAAUGGUGGCGGUAUUUCUAAGUUUCAACGGUCAAAGAGAGAAGAUAUUUAGUUGCUUGGGUGCAUAUCAUAAGCUCUCGUGCAAUUGUACCUUUGCUAGUCUCGAACUAGCUUCUCUAGAGAUUGAAUUGUAACAAGCUUUGGCCUCUCUAUUUUGUAGUGCCUUGCAAUUCUAAUACUGGGAGACGUCAGUCCUCAUCUCCUUCUGCCAUCGUCAUAGGCAGUGGGUUUGCAGGCCUUGCAGCUGCUCGUGUGCUUCAUGAUGCCUCUUUUCAGGUGACUAGCAAAUAAUUUCCCUAGGUUUCUUUUUGGUAAUAUUACUUAUGAAGUAAAAUUCUUCCAGUUUUCAGUAUCACAUUGGUCGCUCUUCUCUUUUUCUGAACCUAAUUAACCUAAUAAUGUUCAGGUUGUUGUCCUGGAAUCAAGAAACAGAAUUGGUGGCCGUGUGUACACUGACCACUCAUUUGGUUUCCCAGUUGAUAUGGGAGCAUCAUGGUAAGCACUAAUGCUGCGUGGUUCUUAUAUUUUGUUUACUUUGGUACCAUCAAUCAAAAAAAUAUACUAAUAUUGGUGUGUAUGUAACAUAUUGGUUUCUCAGGUUGCAUGGUGUUUGCAAAGAGAAUCCGUUGGCUCCUCUGAUUGGAAGACUGGGACUACCGCUCUACCGUACCAGUGGUGACAACUCUGUUUUGUAUGACCAUGACUUGGAGAGGUAAGUAUCUAAGAAUCAUAAUUUUUUGAGAGAUUCUCGUUGUGUGGUGAAGUAUUUUAUCUUUGAAAGAGUGGCUGCUUCUCAUGGUCUGUGAUUCUAAAAAGAGAAUAAUCAGUUGCAUUUUCUUCAUACAUGUGGCAAGGAUUGACUUAUCAAAAGAAAAGAAAAAGAUAAAAGUGGGGUACGCUGAUGAUAGUUGCUAGUGGCAGUGCUGCAUCACACAUUAAAUGAACAAGUUGCAGAAUCUAAAAAUCAGGAAAUUAACGUUGGAAUAAUGUUCACUUUUUUAUAACUUUUGAGGGAUUACUGACCACAAAGAGGGAAAAAAUAGGUAUUAAUUAUACACUUGGGUUGCUUAGAAAAUACGCAAAUUGAUGAACACUUGAUUAACUGCUAAUAUGAAUUUGGCUUUCUGAUAUUAGCAUAUUGAGAUAAGAUAAUUAUUGGGCCAUCAUAAUUUUCUAUGGGUCCUAAAUGAACAUGUUAUCCUCCAUACUAAUACAUUUGUUAAGUCCUCAGGAAUCUCCCAUCUAACAUGUCUAUGAUGUCAUCACCUUUUCUUUGAGAUGAGAAAAAUUAGAACUUUUUGUUUAAAAUGCAGCCCUAAGAGCAGUUUGUUGUGGCUUCCUUUUCUUUCUCUUGAUCGGAUCUCUAUCUUCUAAAAGGAAAUUUUAUUUGAGGUUUGGAACACCAUGAAAUCACCUGUAAGUAUUAGUUGUGAAAUGGAAAUUGCUUUGGUACAUAAACCUUAUCCUAUUGUCCAAAGAAUUCUUUGCUUAGCUGCUGUACAACAGUCGAGCUGCGUCCUUGUCAGAUAUUUUUGGGGUAAUGCACGUAUGUAUUUGAAGCUUACAUAAUCUGAAACCCAUAGAAUGAGUGUAGAGGAGAUGAGGAUUUGAGAUGGAUGAGUGGCAAGACAAAGAAGGGAUAGAAUUCGAAAUGAAUACAUUCAUUGAAAAUUUAGGUGUGGCACCAAUAGGCGAUAAAAUGGAAGAGAGAUUUAGGUGAGUUGGCCAUGUGUGGUACAGACCCAGUACAACACUUGUUAGGAGGUACGAGUCAGUUCAAGUGGAAGGCUCAAAAAGGGCAAGGGGUAGGCCAAAAGGACAUGGUUGGAAGUAGUGAGAAAAGACAUGUGGACUUACAGCCUCACUAAGGAUACCCUUAAUACAGUAGAAUGGCAGACCAGGAUUCGUGUAGUAAACCCCAAUUAGUUGAGAAAAGGUUUUGAUGAUGAUGGUUGUUCCUCUCUAUAAUUUCUAUAGAGUACCAGUUUGGGGAAGAUCCUCGAGUAACUUCAAUUUCAAAAAAGAAAACCCAAAUUAGAGCUGCUAUGUUUUAUCUUUUGGACAACUUUUACCUUGAAUCUUGGUAAGCAUAUGGCGUGAUGUUUACAAUACAAUUGCUGAAUGAUGAAGGUUAUAUAGAGAAUAAUAUGGGUUUGUACUUAGGGGAUUUUGGGUAACUCUUCAUAUGGUUUACACCUUCACUGUUUUACUUUUUCAGCUAUGCACUUUUUGACAUGGAUGGGCAUCAAGUCCCUCAAGAACUAGUCACGGAGGUCGGCAAGUUAUUCGAGAGCAUCCUAAAGGAGGCAUGAUUCUUUUCCUUUUUUCCAUGCCUAGCCAAGAUUUCUUAUAUAGUAUCUGUAAAUUUUAAAAAUUUGUUUCUUCUCGAGAUUAAUCUCACUUUUGCUCUUCUUGAUGAUUACAGACAAUAAAAGUAAGGGAGGAAAACAGUGAAGACAUGUCCGUACAGCAGGCAUUUUCAAUCGUUUUGGAAAGACGUCCAGAUCUAAGGUUUGAUAAGAAUAGGUCAUUCACAUGCACACAUACAGAUUGUACACUGAUUCUAUGUAGCUAUUGUCAUUGCUAGCUCUUUCUGAGCUUAUUGUCUAUUUUGAUUAGACAUGCUAUGCCUUUGGUUUCCAGACAAGAAGGACUUGCGCAUAAGGUAUUGCAAUGGUACUUAUGCAGAAUGGAAGGUUGGUUUGCUACAGAUGCUGAUAACCUAUCAUUGAAAAGCUGGGAUCAGGUAAGAAAGUUCAUAUUCCAAAUGAUACACAUUUCAUGCAAUUUGUAAGUAUAAUUGAAUGGUUCAUGUAAUGAUAUCUGAGUAAAAUUGUUUCUUUAAUUCAUGGCACAGGAAGAAUUGCUUGCUGGGGGCCAUGGUCUAAUGGUCCGUGGUUAUUGUUCAGUUAUAAAUACCCUUGCUAAAGGCAUAGAUAUUCGCUUUGGCCACAGGUAUGUAAAUUAUAAUAAGUCAGUUGAAUUACUCUAUUUUCAUGUGCACAUUUGUAUAGCCUCUGUUUCGUUUAAAUUACCAUUUUAUCUUUGGCUUUUAAUUUCCUCGUAUUUCGUAAGGCAUCACCAAAGCACCCCACUCUUUGCAAGUGAAAAACAUGCCUUAAUUUCUUUCUAGUAAUUAGUAUAUCCCUUUAUAGCAAGUAACUGGAUUCUUGUGGACAUUUUCAUUUGGGAAAGUAAUCAAAUGGGCUACAGAAAGCCCAUAGUCUAUUGAGUCAUCACUGUCCAAUGAAAAGAUGGUCACUGAUAGAGAUAUGGUGGUACCCACUAUUGAGGCCAAGCCAACUGGUAAGUGUCACUUUCGCUCCAUUGCCUUCCCUUAUUUUAAUGGACAGUGACUAUCCAAUAUGCUAUGAUUUUUCUCCUAGUCCAUUGAAUCAUACUAUUUGUUUCUCCUUUCUUUUUCUUUCCCUUGUUGAAAGUAACUUUAUCCCAUUCUUUUAUUUACAGCUGUUUAUCCAUCCCACGAUAUUUUUAGCAUUUUUUAAAUUAUAUAUUUUCAUGUUUUCAUGCAAUGCACAUGCUAGCAACUCUCUCUUUCUCUAGCACCUUCACACUCUCUCUCCUAUACACACAAUGUGUGCAUUGGCUCGAUUGCGCACAUUUAUGUAGAGGACAGCUAUUUUAUUGUUCAUUGGUUGGUCAAGGAAUUUCCAGGAUUGCCUUAUUUUGUUCUCAUUUGGAAAACAGGGUUAUAAAAAUCUCUCGUCAUUACCAUGGAGUAAGAGUCACUGUCGAGAAUGGUAAAACCUUCAUAGCUGAUGCAGCUGUUGUAGCAGUACCCCUUGGGGUACUGAAAGCCAAUUCCAUAAAGUUUGAGCCAAGACUACCAGAGUGGAAAGAAGCGGCGAUAUCAGAUCUUGGAUUUGGUAAUGAAAACAAAAUUGCAUUACACUUUGAUAAGGUCUUUUGGCCCAACGUAGAAUUCUUGGGAGUGGUUGCUCCAACCACUUAUGAGUGCAGCUACUUUCUAAAUCUUCACAAGGCAACUGGUCACCCUGUCCUUGUAUACAUGCCUGCUGGUCGGCUGGCUCAUGACAUUGAGAAGAUGUCUGAUGAAGCUGCUGCUAACUUUGCUGUUUUACAACUGAAGAGAAUUUUGCCCAAUGCAUCUGAUCCUGUAAGUCUAGCUUUAUAUAUUCCUUUUUUUCCCCCUAGUUUUAUCAUUUACUAUUGAUCCAAUCUCUUCACCUUCCUGUUCUUUUUGCAUUUUAAUACUUUCUGAUAUCAAUUCUUUUGUGCUGAGGCCUAUUUUUAGCGCUAAACGGAUAACAUCCUCCUAAUUGUAUGAAAGUUGCAUGUAUAUUUGUAUUAUGUAGCUGCAUUUACCAUGCACACACUCAUUGACAUAUCGAUUUUCUGUUUGGGUUUUCUAUUCUGUUUUCUGGACUUUAAAAAAUGAGGAGGAUUAAAUUCAUACCAUUUUGAAAGAUAAAAAAGGUUGGAGGAUGUACAUCUUCUGCAAAUGAAGCACAUUGAGUAUGGAUAUUGCUUUACUGAGAGCAGUUCUUUUUGGUGCUGUUUAUCUUAUAUACAUUUUACUUAGUAGACAUUUUUGGUCAUCUCAGACUAACAAUUGGCAUGUGUUUAGGUAUAAUCAAACUUUCCUUUCUUAGUGUCUUCCUUUCAGGGUCAGUUUGAAAGGCAGUGUCAUGUAUCCUAUGUAUGUACAAGUUCAUGAUAAUGGGUAUUAUGUCUUCUAUUGCUGUAUUGGUUGUUCUUGGUUGUACACACAAUUAAUAGUGUUCUGUGUGCAGGUGUUGUAUAUUAGAUUUUAUUUUCACUUCUCAGAAGGCUACAUACCUCUCAUUGGCCAGUGGCUGGCAUGAGCUUUCAAUAGUCAAACCCUCCCCUUCAUCUCUACUUGUCAUAUUGAGUUUUAGUGUAGGAGUUCAUGUAUGUGGGUGUGUGUGUGGGUGUCUGUGUGAGUGUGUGUGUAGAUAUUGUAUAUUGAUUAUUUGUGUGUAUCCAUGGUAAAUUGUGUAAAGGUUAUUUGUCUUCUGUCAUUUUAUUUCUUGUCCUUGAUUGGACACUUCCUCACAAGAGUAAUUUAGUCAUCCAUAUUCUUCAUUCUGUUGUUGAAUGCGAAAUUCUGUACACAAGUUUCUCACUCACAAAUUUAGUGUUUUAACCAAAAAGAGGCAAUACCUUAAAAGUGAUAUCGUCCUGGCAUAUUUGUGGUAAAAUUUGUAAAGCGCUGUAGUUAUUUUUUGAAAAUUUGUUGGUGCUUACAAAAUUACAGGACUUAUAGGAAAACGUGAUAUUGAAACUUCAGAGAGAGAGUUUAGCAAUUGGAGUUCUUCUCAGAAACUUUUGGCUCAUAUUUCUUGACAGUGUGUAUAUGUGUGCCUGUAAGUGCAUGCGUUGAGCGCGUGUGUGUGUGAGAGAGAGAAUCGUUCACAUCGAGGUCACAUGUGUGGGAUCUCACAGCACUCUUUGUGCAAGUGGCAUAGCACUCUUUGUGCAAGUGGCUUUCUAUGAACUUGUACACAAGGUUUCAAUAAAUGAUCACAAAAUUGGAUAUACUGGGCACUAUGAUCUGUCUUUUGAAGGUGUAUCAGCUGCAAUAUAUUAGCUUAUAUCACCAUAGACCCUAGCAGAUCUUUCUUAUUUUUUGUGAACCUUACUUGUAAUUAUCACAUCACAGCGUGCUGUGUUUCGUGUGUAGUAUAUACAUUUGCUGACGAUGUGUACACUCAUUUUGUGCGAUAUCUCGUUCUCUCUCUUAUGCACACAUGCACAAAUGAUAUUUGCUUUUGUGCUUCAUCUCUCUUUGUCUCUCUCUCUCUCUCUCUCUCUCUCUCUAUCUUUCUCCACCCAUUUGUCUAUCAAGCAGUCAAUCUAUUUCUUCGAGUCAAGCACUUCGACUCAAAAGUUUCUCCAUGAAAAAAUAACAAUCUCGUGUGCCUUCUUCAGAUUCAAUACCUAGUAUCUCAUUGGGGCACAGAUGUUAACUCCCUAGGUUCCUACAGCUACGACGCAGUAGGAAAGCCUCAUGACCUCUAUGAGCGCCUCCGCAUCCCUGUGGACAAUCUCUUCUUCGCAGGUGAAGCAACAAGCAUGAGCUAUCCCGGCACCGUUCAUGGUGCUUUCUCUACUGGAUUAAUGGCCGCUGAAGAUUGCCUUAUGCGUGUUAAAGAAAGGUAUGGAGAGCUAGACCUGUUUCAGCCUGUGAUGGCAGAGGAAGCCGAUGCAAUAUCUGUUCCCUUGCUCAUAUCAAGGAUGUAAAGACUAUGCUAACAUAUACGAAUAAUUGUGUGCUUUGGAGACCUACUAUAUAGUUUUACUUGGCCUCAAGAACAAUAUAUACACUUGCGGCUAGAAUGCUAUUAUAGAUAUGACAGUUUUAUGAUGAUAUUUGAGGCUGGAGACCCAUUUAGCUGAAAAUAUUACUUGGUUCACUUUGAAUAAUAUAUGGCAGUUUUGUGAUGAUAUUUAUAGGAACCAGAAAUGGCCCACUAUCCAAGCCAUAAUUCUUGUUCACUAUCAGCUAGGGCAAUUCUUUAUAGCAUUUGAGGUAUUGGGAAGUGACCCAUUAAGGCCAAUAUUGCUUGGCCUACCACACUGAUAUAUGACAAUUUUAGGAUGAUAUUUUAUGAAGGGAAGUGACCCAUUAAGCCAAUAAUCCUUAUUCACUAUAGUUUUAUGACUGAAGGAGAGAUACAAUUUGAUAACUUCAUGGAAGUUCUAUAUGGUAUUUCAAGCAUGGGGAGAUGACCCAUUUAGUAAAAAUUUCUGGUUAAGUGCUAUUUGGCAGUUAUAUAUAAUGUUAGUUUGGAGAGGAACCCAUUGUGUAAAUGGAAUUCAAUAUCAGAGGUGUAAAGCUCUAUUGCCGUUAAAUGCAGGCAAGUGAGAGCCAAUAUAUUUCUUUAUGCACAAUGUGAAGAGAUUAAAUAGUUGCUCCUCCAACCUGAUUGAGGCAAGGGUAAUGUCUACUGCUUAGAGAUAUAUAGAUGAUUAUGGUCGUAUUUGAGGCAGCGAGAAAUACCCAUAAUGCCAAUAUUGUUUCUUUGAUCGUAGGACUUCAAUAUGGAGUAAAAAAAAAUGUAAAGAGAAACUUUUAAAAACUGAUUGAUAGUGCUUUGAGAUGACAUGUUUUUCUUUUUCUUUUCUUUUUUUCUUUAUUAUGUGAUACCUUUUAAAGAAAAAGUGGGCAGCUUAUUAUAUUUGGUAAAAAAAUUAUAUAAGUUUGCAACCUUCCUUAUACCAUAACCUUCGAAGUAAGGUGGACCUCAAAAAUCAGGUAGAAAAGAGUGUGAAGUAGGCCGGGUCCGGUAUGAGUAAAAAAAUUGGACUUGGCAGGUUGGGUCUGGGUCCAAGUUCAUGUGGACCCGAUACGAAUAGUGUUAUUAUUUAAAUAAUAUUAAUUAAUAUUUAAAUAACAUUUAGAUAAAUACAACUAUAUCGUUUAGUUAUAGUAUUUAAAUAAAUACAACUAUAUAUUUUAGUUAUAAUAUUUAAAUAAUACAUGUAUAUAUUUUAUAUAAUAUUUAUUAAANNNNNNNNNNNNNNNNNNNNUGGACAUCCGUGAUCGUCAGAUCGGUCCAGAUUCAAUCUGGGCCGUUGGGCUCAUAUGUUCAUAUGAGCUAGUGGGCUAAUCCCAGCUUUUUCUUAUAUAUAUUAUAUAUAUAUAUAAUUUUGAUGUAAAAUGUUCAUAGGAUUAUCUCAAAAUUUAUUUUUAUAUCUAAUUAUAAAAUUUUAAAUUUUAAAAAUGGUUAAAAUCAAGUAGAUCUAUAAACAUAUGAAAAUCUUGAAAAUGAACGAUAUAGAUAAUAUGUUGUAAAAUGCACUAUUUUUGAGACUUAAAAUCUUUUUAUUUUUUAUGAUCAUACUUCUUGAUGUCGAGAUGAUCAAUCAAAGGGUUUUUCAACAUUAAAACUACCUUUUCCGAUGGAUUUUUGAGAUGCAUCCGUAGUUCUACAUUAUAAGGUUGCAUCCUUAUAUAAAUGUGUUCGAUAUAUAUAUAUAUAUAAAAGAUUGUCACAAAUUUAUUUUUACAUUUCCAGUGCAAUAUUCUAAUCAUUUUUAAUGAAAUACUUUUAGAGAGGCAAUCCCUCAUUUGGAAAGUAAAAAAUGAACGUCCUUAAUUUCAAAACUAAGUACAUGAGCAAAUAAUGUAAAACACUGGCCUCCUGGUUUUCUACUUCUCGAAGCAAUUAAACAUUAAUUUUCAUAAGAUGGCCUGAAUUAUUUUAAAGAAUCAAGAGUGCGUGUAUUGUGUUCCCACUGGAGCAAAUUGUACAUUUGGCCCCCACUUACAAGGAUCUGGUUGAUUAGAAAUUUAAUCAAUAGAUGAGUAAACAAAAAACAAAAACAAUGGGGAUUUUGAGUUCUUGAACACCUCGAUCUGACUAGCAAGAAUCAGACUGUGCAUACGUUUCUUGUUCGCAACCCGAGCCUCGAAAAUCAAUGUUCAAAUAUAAGAACUUCAUGAGAAAAUAUAUAUCUCUGCCAAGACUUGUCGAGGUCAUUGGAAAGUGGUGGCUAGUUAUAGGAAAAAAAAAAAUAGAUUCCUGCACAAGCAAAGGGGGUGCGGUUUAUAUAAGGUGUAGUAAAUUGCACCUUGAUGCAGUUUCACUUUUGAGAACUCUUAAAAUGACCUGAAAAUCUAUUUCCACGUCUAAUUAUAAUUCAAAGCUAAAAAAUGGUGUAGAUCGAACAUAUGUUUAAAUACUUGAAAAUCUUGAACAUAGCCAUUUUGGAUAAUAUAUAACAAGAUAUACUACAUUUAGGACUUGAGUUUCUUUUCUUUUCUUAUCCAUAAAUCUUGUGGUCGAUAUGAUCAAUUGGAGGCUUUUCUAAGAUUGGAACAAUUGUUUUUUCUUUUUUUUUUAUGACUUUUAAGGUGUGCCUACUUUUACCUAUGAAGUUAUACAUGUGAACAAAUGUUGGAGGUGGAUAUGCAUGAGUUUGUCCGAUCCUUCAUAUAAUUUUGGGGGCAAAAAUCAUGUGUAGAAAUUGCAAUUUUAAAUCAAUGUUCAAUAAUCAAUUGUAGACCCUGUAACCCAAUUUCAUUUGGUCAUUAGAUGGAAGCUGCACCACUUGGAUGUUAAUUAAAAUUUAGGGAAAAUUACAUACAUAUUCGUUAUUGUUUCUGUUAUUACGACUCUACCAAAUAAUUUCUGUUAUUACCACCAUAUCCGUUUUAUUCAUGUCAAAAUGAGAAUUUAUAAAAAAGAUGACUUUACCAUUUUUUGAACAACCAAAUUCAAAGUAAUUUCGGUUAUUGAUUCACCAAUUUCUGUUAUUGAAGAAUCCAAAAAUAUUUUAUCUCUCUCGUGGCGUAUUUUCUCUACCUCUAUGAAGUCAUAGUUAUCCGAUAAAAUAAAAGGGAACAACUAGUUUGAGCCCCUAAAUUUAGGAGAAAUCCAAGGGAUUAUGAGAUUAGAAGAUUAGGAGAAAUCUUGUGGCGUAUUCACUCUCUACGAUAAAAUUAGGGGACAACAGCUAGUUUGAGCCCCUAAAUUUAGAAAAAAUCGAAGAGAUUAUGAACUUAUCCCAAAAACCAUUUUUACCCAUGUAAUGUAGCAAAGGUAGAGACAAGAUAUACAGACCCACAUGCGAGAAAAAAAAUUUGGGUUAUUCAAGAACUGAAAUUGACCCGUUUUUUUAAAAUACUUUGAAUUUGGUUGUUCAAUAAAAAAAAAAAAAGUAAAGUCGUAUUUUUUUUAAAUUUCCGUUUUGACGUGAAAAAAACGGACAUAAUGAUAAUAACGGAAACUAUUUGGUAGAACCGUAAUAACGGCAACUAUAACGGAUAUGUAUGUAAUUUCCCCUAAAUUUUAAUGUUAGUUCCCUUGAGAAUGCGGGAUUUGUAGGUGUGGGAGGUGCUCUUAUUGGGGAAAAAGGAGGAAAUGAACUCGCAAAAAGUCUCAGGUAUUGAUUGACAGCGUUAUUGGACUUAACAUCAUACAGAACCAAGGUUAUUCCAUAAAGAUUGAGAAUAACUUUUGUUUCUCUAUGUUUUUCAAUAGUCAUGAAGCCCUAAUUUAUAGAGGGAAGAGAUUGGGCUGUUAUCCAACAUUCAACUUGAGGGGCUUAUUUUUUGGCAAAGCAUUAUCUAAUCUUGUAGUUUGGGAGUUCUUGUUGUUUAAGACACUAGUUUCAUCUAUUGAAAUGUUCUCUUUGUGAACGAUCCCAUUCAUUAUAUACACAAAAAAAAUCUGAAGAGAAAUGAAAAAGUAACCAAAAGGCCUCAUGUCAUCAUAUCUCCUUGAGCACUUCAAUGGUUAGAGCGAUACCAAUAUAUGAUAUAACGUAUAUCUCCCUUCAAAAUACUUUAUACUUCUGAAUAUGAAACUUAUUAUUAUCUUUUACAAUUCUAACGAGAGUCUUAAGUGACAGUGUAGUAUUAUUUUGGCAAUUAUAGGGUGGAAUCCAAUGCAUUGUUUAAAGGAAAAGUAUAUUUAAGGCAUGGAUUAUAUAGCCCCAGCUUAUAUCUCACCAAAUUGGUGUCUAAAACUCUGGAAAUGCAUCAUCUCACCUCAAAGAAUAUGGAUUUGAAAGAAAAGCAGAUUUCUACAUAUCAUCCAUUUUGAGUCUUCAUAGAUUUGCCAAAUCUACAUAUUUUUUAAAGCUUUCAUGUCCACCGAAAUGAUAAAAUUUUUGCUCUAUUGAAGGUACUUUUCCCAGUGGGGUUUCGAGGUGGGGCUGUGCACCUUGUUGUAUUACCCUUAUUAAGAAAGUAACGAGAUUGCGAAAGUGAUGGAGACAGAUUUUAGAUCCAAAAAAUCCAAGCGGCAGAUAGAUUUAGAUCCAAAACUUAAUUAUAUAUCUCAAGUACAACCAUCAUGAAUUUGGAUAAAAAAAUGAAUCUUGAACAUUUAAAAUGGUUACUUUUGUAUUAUUUUUUGAAAUUGUUUAUUUCAAUACUUCAAAGAUCAUUAGUUUUGGAUUGUAUUCAUAGCAUGAAAAUCAUGGGUUUCAGAUGAGAUCUAAAACAAUAGUUAUCAAAACCAGACUGAACCUGUGGUCCGACUGGUUAUACUGUAGGCCAGUGCCUUAGCUGAUCUAAUCCCGGUCUAGUUUAAGACAAACUAUGUUUGGUCGAAAGUCAGUCAAAACCAAUAUUUAAACUAUUUUAAGCUAUUAGGCUACCUAUUUUUAACUGGUUGCACCAGCUAAAUGAAGUUGGAAAAAAAAAUUUAAUACAUUUUAUAUUUAAAAAAUAUUACAUCUAUUUUUUCCUUUUUUCUAGAAUCCGAUCCAACCCAUUCAACUAGUAGAUAGAUAGGUUUUGACUGGACCAAAUGCUUGACCAGUUGAGUGGCCAAUCUAAUCCAAAUAACACUCCCUAAAACCCCCAUGGGCAUACAUGACUUGAGUCACCUAAUAACCUUCCCUCCCUAAAACCACCAUGCGCACUCACCUAAUAACCUUCCUUUUACAACUUAAAUUUCUCUCUCUCUCUCUCUCACUGUCUCUCUCUCUCUCCCCUAAGUUCUAAAUAUACAAUGCAAUCUCUCUCUCUUCCAAGUUAUCUAUAGGCGAUGAACUCUCUCUCCCUCUCUUAAAUUACACAUUCUCUCCAAACCGCGGGGCUCUGCAGACAAAUUUAUCCAUUAAAAUCUGCUGCCCUUCUAUGUGUCUUGGACGAGAUGGAGAAGGUUACGCUCACGUUUCAUGGCUUCCCACAUCUGAUACUGAAUAACCAUGGAGCCUCCUCACUCUCUCACUAUAAAAAACCAAAAUGGCAAAGUUUAACUUCAUUCAAGUAGAGAAAAACGAUGCUAUAACUUUUGAAUCACUAUCGAAUCACCCCUAUAUAUGGGGCGGUCCGAUAUUUGGAACAUCAAACUUCCUUAAAACUUGCAAAAAAAAAAAAAAAAAAAGAACAAAAAAAAAAAAGUUUAACAUUGAAAAAAAAAGAUAAUACAAAAAAAAAAGAAAGAGAUGGGAGUAAAAUUAGAGAAAUUUUAGACCAUACACAAACUCCAUAAAUUAUUUCCAGUCUGGACAUUGCAAAAAUUACGUGAGGACCAUAAAACGAAUGCAGAAAUGCCAUAGGGGUCAUAUUUGUAAACUUUUAUAGUUAAGUCAUUUUUCUUGUUUUUAUUUCAAUUUAGCCUCAACGUGAUGUUGCAAAAAUUGAACUUCUUUUAUUUUUUAUUUCUUGUUUUUAUAAAUUCUAGAGCAGUGCAAUGCUCCACCGCUUCAUUUUCAAAUAUAGACCGAUCCAAUAUUGGAACAAUGGUCUGCACCACAUUGAGAAUUUUUGUUAAGUAUAAAAUAGUUUGAUAUCUCCAAUAUACUUAGAUUAGACUACAUUGAGGCUUUUAUGCCCAAACUCCUUCGGCCGUUUGAUUUUCAAUUUGGAAAGAUUGAACAACACUUAAAACAACAAAAAAACAGCGGUCCGAUGUUGGAGCCAUCACACUAUUCUAUACCUUAAAAAUACUUAAAGUACGAGGACUCCGGUGUUGGAGAAAUCACACCACCCCAUAUCUAAAAUAUUUGUAAGUAUGGAGUGGUUCGAUGAUCCCAGGAGCAUCCCUGUACCAAAGUCCAUGAUUCAGACAUGUAAUUCGAAUAGAACCCAAGCCAGGGAGCAAAAUAACUUUUUGGGCAAAAUAAGAAAAACAAAUGGCAUCCUUUUUUUUUCUUUUGAAAAUCUCGAUUUUACGUUUCAAUUGUUAAUUUUUAUAUAAAAAAGAUUCUUAUCAAUCUUUAGAUCAUUAUUGAUCAAUGGAGGAACAAGAAUAUGAUUUUGGUUCGAUAAGAUACCAAAGUGGAUGAUUGACUCAUUCCAUACUAGGAAUAAUCGCGGGAAAUUAUUUGAGAACACGAUUUCUUAUUUCUCAAUGAUAUCCCACGAUCGCGACAAUUGGCUGAAUCCCGUGAAACCCCAAAGCCAAUGAUUCAGAUAUGCAAUUCGAAUAGAAUUCAAGAGGCAAAAUUAAAAUUUAAAAAAAAAACCAAAUUUUUUUUACAUAUUAUGGGCCAUGCAAUUAUUUAAAGGGUGCAGUUGGCAUACAAAUGCAUCCGUAGCUAUAGAGGUAAGGUGCACCUUCAAAUUUUAUCAUGUUAUAUAAUUUUGAUGUAAAAUAUUCUUGAGAUUAUCUCAAAAUCUAUUUUUAUAUCUAAUUAUCAAAUUUUAAAUUUUGAAAAUGAUUAAAAUCAAGUAGAUCCAUAAACAUAUGAAAAUCUUGAAAAUAGAUGGUGUAGAUAAUAUGUUGUAAAAUGCGCUAUUUUUUAUACUUAAAAUCUCUUUAGUUUACAGGGUCGUACAUCUCGAUGUCGAGAUGAUCAAUCAAAAGGUUUUUCUACAUUAAAACUAUGUUUUCUUAUGGAUUUUUGUGGUGCAUCCGCAGCUGUAAAAGUAAUGUUGCAACCUUAUAUAAACUUUUUCCUUAUUCAAAAUUUGUCAUUCCGGUGGGAACACAAUUUUUCCUCUCUCGAAGGAAAAGUGUAGCGUGCAUCAGGGGAUGCAAUUCUACAAAUACGUUCCUUGUGUACCUUAACAUCCAUCUCAAGGAGGAUGUAAAAAGGUGUUCGCCCACCAAAACCUACAAAUUAAUAAUCUGAAAAAAUGCAUCAAAAUUAUUAUUUUUUAGUUUUAAAAUUGAUUUUUUUAUUCAGCACAUUAUGGAUUGUCAACCCUUUAAAAUUGUUGUACCAAAAUUCAUCUACAACUAGAUGAGUGGACAAAUUCAUGAAAACCUUGUGAAAUAAGAAAUGUUUAUAUAAGGUUGCAACCUCAUGCUAAAGGUGUACCCUAUGCAGCUCUUUCUUUUAUUGCAACCUUUUUUUCUCUCUCUUAAAUUUUAAUAUCUCUAGAUGAAAGGGUAUUACUAUAAAAAAUAUAGGAAAAGUAAUAUGGGAUGGUUUAUAAAGAGAGUAUUUAUUUUUCUACAUGGAGUUCAUAAUCAUUAUCACUUAUUAGAUGUCAAAUUUAAUGACUUGAGAUGAGUCACGAAGUCUGAGAAUUUUUUUGGGAUUUUAUAUUUAUUCAAUGACACUCUUACAACUACAUGUUUUGAAAUUUAAGGAACAAGAAUGAUUGUGACCUCCAUUUACAAAAUAUAAAAGGUAUGGUUUGUAUAAGGUUACAACAUUAAACAAUUAAAUUAAGAUGUACCUUGAAAUUUUAUCAUAAAUAAAAUUCUGGUGUCAAAUUUCUUAAGAUGAUUUGAGAAACAAUAUUUACCUUUAAUUAUAAAAUUUUAAUCUCCAAAAAUGGUUCAGAUCAAGUAGAUCAAUAAAUACUAAAAAAUAGUGAAAAUGGAUGGUCAAGUUAUAAGAUAUAUUUUUUAGAGCUUAAAAUAUAUUUUUUUUUUAUAUUCAACUUUUUAUAGUAAUUCAUCUCGAUGUAGUGAUGAUCGAUUAAAGAAUUUUUUCGAUAUUUUUAUGAUGAAUUUACUAGUCCACCUUAAUUUUAUAUUUUAAGGUUGCAACCUUAUAUAAACUUUUUCACUUUUUCAUAUAGCCUCUUUGCAGACGAUCCCAAAAGGUGUGCCCCCUUCUAUGUGCUUUUGAUAAGGCAGGCAGAGUGUGUUUUGCUCGUGUCCUAUGUCUUCCCACACUUGGUACUGAAAAACCAUGGAGCCUCCUCAUUCUCUCACUACUUAGAGCUUAUUUUCUCUCUCUUAUUUGCUAGAGGAGAUGGAUGCCCUCAAAAUGCAGUCUUGGAUAUCUCUCUCAUCCAAUCUGAGGUAAGACACUCCCAUCGAAUUUUUACUUUCCCUCUGAAUUUUCUCGUUUUUCUCUGCCUAUGCUGAGCCAUCCUCCUGAAUUCCCCUCUCUCUCUUUCUCUCUCUGCUCCUUUGGUUUUACUCUCGUUUUGUGGCUUGUGUGAUUCAUUCCCAGGUUCGCUGUUCCUCUGUACUUAUCACUGGUUUUCUCUCAAUUCAUAAUACUUAGCUUUACUUUUGUUGCUUUUUUGCAGACAUUACUGUGUUUUUUCUGAUAUAAUUUUCAUAAAUUUACAUGGGUGCUGCUGUUUCUCUCACUACAAAUCGCUUCUCUCUCUUUUUUUUUUUUUCCUGAAAUGGGGUUUUCUACCCUUCUCUUCGGCAACACACUGCCACACCUUAACUUUUCGAAUGCAUUUCCUCUUUUAUGAGUUUGGGUUUGGCUGCUUGUGUAGAAACCCAAUUCAAAUGCCUUCAAAAUUCAGAAUAUAUGCAGCUGUUUGGGUGGUGGUUGUGUUUUUCCCUCCUCUUUUUGUAACAAUUCGAAAGAAGGUUCGAUUUUCAGUUCAAUUUGGGCUGGUGACAUUCUACAUGGGUCUGUUUCUUCAAGGAAAGAAAAAAACAGAAAAAAAAAACCAUGAUUGGAGUUCUUCUUAAGGUUUUGUUUGAUUCUUAAUAUGGCAUUUGCUUAUUUUUAUCAGGAAGCCAAGACCUAAUGGAACUCCCUUCCUCCACCAAAUUGAAACCUCUAAAAGAAGAGAGGUGGUUUGCCUUGGGAUGUUAGCACCAAGAAAGUUUAUGCAAAGGAGGAGAAAAAUAGAAGUUUUUAAGGAUGAGGCAGAUGAGGCCGACCAGAAGAAUUGGAGGAAAGUGAUGCGAGACAUUGAGGAGUCAGGUUCAGCUGUCUCAGUUCUCCGAAACCAAAGGUCGAGAGGUCAAGCUUUGCCGAAAGACCUGGUUUUGGGCACUCUAAUGAGAUUCAAGCAGCUUAAGAAGUGGGACCUUGUCAGUGAGGUGCUCUCUCUCUCUCUCUCUCACACACACACACACACACACACACACGCACACGCAUACACACACACAUACACACACACACGCAUGCUCAGCGCGUGCACAGGCAAGUCUACAAAGAAAUUAAGGUGAGUAUUAGUUGAAUUUCCAUUUGUUCCCAUUUAAGAAAGGAUGCAGUUUCAAUAAGGCCUAGGCUUUAUGAAAACAAGGUAAAGUUUUGCCUCGAAUCCUCAUCCAGAAAUGCUUUGGGCAUUGGAAAUAUCAUGAUGGCUCUAAAAUUGAUUUUUUUAGGGCGAAAUGAAUGGUCUAGAUAAUGUGUUACAAUAUACAUUAUUUUUAGGGCUUGAGAUCCUAAUUUUCUUUUACAACCAUAAUGGUAGAGGCCGAGAUGAUUGAUUUGAAGGUUUUCCAACGCCAAAACUUUACUUAUCUUGAUAGGGUAUCAAAACAUGUUCCUUUAAGAAAAAUUAGCAGUUCAAUGUAUGCAUUAUUACGUUAUUCCCCAUUUUUUUUGGUGUUUCAGAUCUCUAAGUAAUCACCAUGGCUAUUCUUUUUGAUAAAUCACUGGAGAAUUUGUGAUAGUUAGUAUAGUCUGAUUUUCACUUCCAUUUAGACUUUGUACCAACAUCAGUGAAAUUAACUGUCCAUGUAUUUAAUUACUUGGAAAUUGAUUUCUUUGUCUUCCGUAUCUCGCCUUUGAUCUGGGUUUAAGUUUUUUUGGGGGUAAUUGGAAUUUGUCCCUGAUAUAUAUGUACUGGCUUGGUGGUUCAUUUUAUUGUCAUUUGAGCAUUUUAUACAGACUCUUUAUCUUGAUUUUUGUAUGGACAUGGUUUGUGUUUUAAAAUUCAUAACAUUUGAACCCUUCUUUCUAUGUUAGAUUUUGGAAUGGCUAAGGUGCCAACAUUGGUGGGACUUCAAUGAGAUGGAUUUCCUAAUGCUUAUUACAGCUUAUGGAAAACUUAGGGAUUUCAAUAAAGCCGAGAGGGUCUUAAGAUAUAUGAACAAGAAGGGAUAUCCUCCCAAUGUGGGCUCUCACACCGCCGUUAUGGAAGCAUAUGGGAGAGCUGGUCAAUACAACAAGGCAGAAGCCAUAUUUCGAAGAAUGCAAUCUUCUGGCCCUGAACCCUCAGCCUUGACAUAUCAAAUAAUACUCAAGACUUUUGUUGAUGUAUGUAUGCUUGUCUUUGUACCAAUACUCACUCUUUAUCUUUCCUCAGGAAUUUUAUAAUCACCUAUAUGACUUUUUUUUCCUUCUUGUGAGAGCCCAUAUAUUAUUCUUAAUUGUAAUGAAGUAUAAAUUGCUAUUUAUUAGCAGAAUAUCUUUGAUUAAUUUUUCUAUGGGCUUUCAAGUUUAGCUUUGGAAUUACACCCCCACAUACUUACAAGCUUGGCCUCACUAAGUGUGAAGCCGAAUGAUCUUUUCAACUUUCUGUGAUCCCUCCUUACUUUUUCUAUGGUGCUUUUGAGGUUUUGGUUCUAUAUGGUAUAUCUUCUAAUUAAAUAGCCUGUGAAUGGGAUGUCGUAGGCUGGGAAGUUCAAAGAGGCGGAGGAGAUCUUUAAUAGCCUUCUGGACAAUGAGAAUGCACCACUGAAGCCUGAUCAAAAAAUGUACCACAUGAUGAUUUUCAUGUAUCGGAAAGCAGGAAACUAUGAGCAAGCUCGUAAAUUAUUUGCAGACAUGGGUGCUAAAGGAAUGACACAAUCUACGGUUACUUUUAACAGUUUAAUGUCCUUUGAGACCAAUUUCAAGGAGGCUUCGAAUACAUAUGACCAGGUAAUAUAUGGCUGAACGCACUCUCUGUCUCUCUCUCUCUCUCUCAAGCGUGUGUGGGCUCUCCCUCUCCUUCUCUCCUGCUCCCUCCAUCCCUCCAUCCCUCCCUCCCUCACUUCCUCCUUACAUAUAUAAAUAUGUGUGCGGGUGUUCAUUGUCAAUUUCAUACAGGAUGGCUACCUUUCCUAUAGCAUGCUACAGCUCAGUGCAGCUAAUACAUGUAUCAACCAGAUCUUUCGUUCUCAUUGUUGAUAUGAGAAUAAUUGAUAGGCUUUCAUGUUGUUUGCCAUUGCUUUUUUUGCAAUGCAAAUCUAUAAUCUUCUCUCCUGUAAUUGUUCUCUGAACAUAUAUUCUAUUAUGGUACUAGAACCAGUUUGAGUGUUGGGUUUUAUUUUGCCUAUCUAAUAUGCCUUUUGCUCCAAUAUCACUUCACUCUUGAUUUACCGAUCUAUCUCUACUUUAUUUGUCUAUGGAAGGCGCUUUAUUUGUCUAUGGAAGGCACUUUAUUGUCUCAAGCAAGCUCCAUAGACUUGGUUGAUCAGUUUCUUCUCAUGAACUGCCAACAAAAGGGGUUAAUUGUCUCAACGUUUUUAAGAACAAUAGGUUCUGAUGAAUCAUCCAGGCUAGCUUUCUUAUUUCUUUGAGCUUGUAGCUCUUCACUACAAUUACGUUAUCCUCACCAUUCAAUGGCAAUACGUAUGCAUCUUGUGUUCAACUUACAAAUAAUGAGGUGAUUGAUACACUUCUCUAGCUGAAUGUUCAGCAUGAACAGAGUAUGGUCUACCCUUUCUGAUACACUAUGUAUACAAGUGUUUGUUUUGUAGUGUUGUGUCGCUAUCUCAAAGAAUGGAUGUCUCUUAUGCAAGUCAUGUAAUCAGUUCCUUCAGUCACCUCAGAUAUCUCUCUUAAUGGUUGUCUUCUUAUCAUGUCAUGCAUAUGUCAAUGCAUGACAUAAGAGCUUCCUGUGUUGUUCUCUUAGGGCCUGUUUGGGUACCUGGAUUGGACUCUCCAGGAUAAGGCUAUUCAGGUAUUGGGCCCUUAUCCCUUGUUUGGGUAAUACAAUCCUGCGUGGAUAGCUGAAUCCCGGAUAGUGGCCGAUCUAUAUUUUUGGGCCAAAAACGUGGAGGAUGCUAUUCCACCAAAAUGGGUGAAUAGGGCCAUCCACGGUUUUUUGGAUUGGCCAAUCCCCGUCGGACCCGAAAUUUUACAAUUCAUUCAAGUUAAUUUGGAACAUUAAAGUCCACGAAUCACAAAGACAUCUUACUUAAAUAUAAAAUUAUAUAUUACAUAUUUAUAUUUAUGUUAUUAAUAUAUAUUUUACAUAUAAUAUAAUAAAUAUUUAUAUUAUCUAUNNNNNNNNNNNNNNNNNNNNNNNNNNNNNNNNNNNNNNNNNNNNNNNNNNNNNNNNNNNNNNNNNNNNNNNNNNNNNNNNNNNNNNNNNNNNNNNNNNNNNNNNNNNNNNNNNNNNNNNNNNNNNNNNNNNNNNNNNNNNNNNNNNNNNNNNNNNNNNNNNNNNNNNNNNNNNNNNNNNNNNNNNNNNNNNNNNNNNNNNNNNNNNNNNNNNNNNNNNNNNNNNNNNNNNNNNNNNNNNNNNNNNNNNNNNNNNNNNNNNNNNNNNNNNNNNNNNNNNNNNNNNNNNNNNNNNNNNNNNNNNNNNNNNNNNNNNNNNNNNNNNNNNNNNNNNNNNNNNNNNNNNNNNNNNNNNNNNNNNNNNNNNNNNNNNNNNNNNNNNNNNNNNNNNNNNNNNNNNNNNNNNNNNNNNNNNNNNNNNNNNNNNNNNNNNNNNNNNNNNNNNNNNNNNNNNNNNNNNNNNNNNNNNNNNNNNNNNNNNNNNNNNNNNNNNNNNNNNNNNNNNNNNNNNNNNNNNNNNNNNNNNNNNNNNNNNNNNNNNNNNNNNNNNNNNNNNNNNNNNNNNNNNNNNNNNNNNNNNNNNNNNNNNNNNNNNNNNNNNNNNNNNNNNNNNNNNNNNNNNNNNNNNNNNNNNNNNNNNNNNNNNGUCAAUUUUCAAGAUUUUCAAGUUUUCAUAGAUAUGUCGAUCCACACUAUUUUUGAAGCUUUGAACUUUAUAAAUAAAUAUGAACAUAUGUUUUAAGGCUAUGACAAAGAUUUCCAAUUAUGAAACCACAUUUCUCGACACUAUUUGAAGGGAGGCUCUAAUUUGAUUGUUUAGAGCCUAUGCUCUAUACAAACCACGCCCAUAAUGCAUACUAUAGUAUAUAAAUAUCAUAUAUUACAUAUAUUAAAAAUAAUACAAUUACAUUGAUAAAAUAAAUAUAAAUAUAUAACACAUAUAAUAUGAUACAAAUUAUAAUAUAUAUAUAUAUAUAUAUUAUAUAAUAUACUAUUAUAUAUUUAUCUUAUAAUGUAUUAUUGUACUAUAUUGUAUUAUUGUUCUAUAGUAUAUACAUUAUAUAAUAUUUAUAACAUAUUUAUGUAUUAUACUAUAAUAUUAUAUAUUUCCUCUAAUGUUAUAAACUAUAGUAUAAUAUAAAAUAAUAUAUUAUAUACAUAGAAUAUUAUUAAUAUAUAAAUAAUAAAAUAUUAUUUAUAAAUUAUAUAUUAAUUAUUAUUGCAUUAUAAUUUAUAUAUUAAGUAUAUAAUUUAUAUGUAAAUAAAAUAUUAUAAUAAUAUAUGAAAAAUUGUUUCAUGCAGGCUGGACCACAUUUCUACAUAUGCGGUCCAAAAGUGUAAAGCAUAGAAACUAACACUCCAAAUGUUUUCUUAAUAAAAUUAUUAUUUCUAGAUUUUAAAAUUUAUGUAUUUUUCAUAUUCACGAUCUCCAUGUUAGAGAUUACAUGUCCUUAAAAAUUAAGUCCAAAAAUCCAUCUCAAAAAAGAUUUUCUACAUAUACAGUCCAGAAGUGUAAAGCAUCCCUCUUAAAGAUGGAUGCAAGUAGGUGGUCCAUCUAAAAACAAUAGAAACUAACAGUCCAAAUGUUUUCUUAAUAAAAUUAUUAUUUCUAGCUUUUAAAAUUUAUUUAUUUUUCAUAUUCAUGAUCUCCAUGAUAGAGAUUACAUGUUCUUAAAAAUUAAGUCCAAAAAUCCAUCUCAAAAAAAUAUUUUUAAGAGGCUUUCUACAUGUGCAGGCUUGGCCCACAUGCUAACCAGGUCCAUAAUAUAUUAUAUUAUAAAUUAUGAAUAGUGAAUGGUGAAUAUUGUGUCCACAUGUGAAAACAAGUGCACAGGGAAUGUUUCCCCACCUCAAUAGGUGUUUUAUUUUACAAUGGAUUAGACCAUUUCAUGGUAAAAGUUUUUACCAUGGUAUUUUAUUUGCAUAUGCAUUUGUACGAACCUAACGUAUUAAAUGCGAUUUACAUAUGUAAAUAUUUCUCAAGGAAUACUUUAUGCACAAACCAAACGUACCCUCCUAAUAGAAUCUUUGGAAUGUAGGAUAUCUAUACAUCAGGAUACAAUGAAAGGAAUACGAAAAAAAAUAAGGAUUGCAUCUUAGUUAAGAAAUAAUAUUGAAGUUUGGAAUCAAUGGGAGAAGUUAAUCAGUAUAAAAUUAAAUGUAGGGUAAUAACAUAAAAAUUGCAAUUGAAUAUCCAUGGAUUCACAUCUUCCAAGCAAUCCAAAUAGUGGACAUGCAUAUUCCAUAUUUCUUAUUAGAUGCUAUCCAAACGGCAGACACCCCUAUCCCAGGGACAGACCAAUUCUAGGAUAACCCAAUUCCAGGAGAAGCCUAUUCCCAGGAUAGGCUUCUCCAGGUACCAAUGUUCGCAAAAUCGAACCGGAACGAUUAACUGGACAAGGGCCCGGAAGUGAUUUAACCGGCCUAACCGGUAAACCGGCUGAUUCAACCGCUCUAACCGGGCAAGUUCAGAACAAUAAAAAAAGUGUUGAAAAAAAUAGAAAAGAUACAAAAAAAAUACCUACUAAAAUAUGAAAAGCAUAUAAAGAAUGUGAUUGAAACAAAACACACUCAAAUGAAGUUGAAAAUUAAUGAAAAAAAUGGAUUUUAACGAAUCUAUUUGUGCUUAGGGGUAUUUUUAAAAUUUUUUGAAAAAGAUGGGAAAUAUAAAAGUGAGUGUUAAUGCCCAAAACAAUUUUUAAUCUUUACCAUAAUGUAAAGAAUAUUAAAAUAGUGUUACCAACUCUUUUUUUUUAAAAGAAAAUGAAGAAAAAAUUAAGUUAUAUAUAAUAUAGGCCCUUCUUUUUGUCAACCAAGUAGUAAAUGGCGUAUUGGUUAAUGCGCCUAAUAUUAAAGGGCCUCUUUAUAAGAGGUUUCUAGUUCGAUUCCGGUGGGCAGGUAAUUUUUUUGAACUCUUUUGAAGAACUCUUUUGAAGUCCAACGAAAUGAAGUCUUAAAAAAAAAAAGCGGCGGAAUUGAACCGUGAUUGAGAUAAAACUUAAUCGUCAAAGUUAACCAGUAAACCAUUCUGAUAUAUCUGAUAUGAAUUUGAAGUAGUAUUCUAUUUAAAGUUUAAAAUACCGGUUGAUGACCAAAACUGCCCAAAGCCGAAACCGGCCAAUGGCUGGUUUCGAUCUAACCGGGCGGUUAGCGAUUAGAUUGGCCGGUUUUGCGAACACUGCCAAGUACCCAAACGGGCCCUUAAGAUCUUCACUUGACAGCCUAUGCAUAUUUUGAUUGGACAACAACCCAGAUAGAAGGGAAUCCACAACGCGGUACUGUCAUUUAUUGUCAGAUUCACUUGUUUCUUGGUUAUCAAGAAAAGAAUAAUAAGUCCAAUCCCAAGAUGGGGUAUAGAUCCUUGUCAGCUGCCUCUAGAGAGCUUGUGUGGCCCCAAGCUUUAGGUCCAUCUAGUGUUUGAGUUUCUAGCUUUUAGAUCUUCAUGAGAGAGAUAAAUGUGCUAUUCUUAUCGCCUCACAUCUUGAAUGACAAAUGAAACUCAUGUCGGUAAUUUGUGCUUCAUUUUGAGACAGACCAGUUUUACUGGUAUCAUAUUUUUCAGAAUGAAUAGCUGACAUGUUUAUCAAGUCUCUAACCAUAUCCAUAAUAGGCAUAAUUACCUUGUGAAUAAACUGUCUUGCAUCUACGGAUGCUUAUGUAUGAGGGUGGGUGUCAUGAGCACUUGCAUAUAUGUUGCAUCUGUAAUCAGGGGCAGUUUGGCUCAUCAUCAUCAUCAUAGCUUUUUUCCAAUUAAUUAGGGUCAGCUACAAGAAUCUUGGUCCGCCAUUUUGCUCUAUUAAAGGCCAUACCCUCAGUGAGGCCAUAAGCCCUCAAAUGUUUUCAGACUACUUCCAACCAUGUCCUUUUAGGUCUACCCCUUGCCGUUUUCAGUCCUUCCACUUGAAUUAACUCGCACCUCCUAACAGGUGUUGUACUUGGUCGGUGCCACACAUGGCCAGCCUACCUAAGCCUACUCUCUCUUAUCUUAUCUCCUAUUGGUGCCACACCUAAAUUCUCUCGAAUGGAUUCAUUUCGAAUUCAAUCCCUUCUUCUCUUACCACUCAUCCAUCUCGAUAUCGUCAUCUUUGCUACACUCAUUCUCUGGGUUUAUUGUUUUUUGUCCGCCCAACAUUUCGCCCCAUAGAGCAAAGCCGGUCUCACAACUGUGCUAUAGAACUUGCCCUUCAGCUUCAUUGGUAUGCGGCGAUCACAUAAAAUUCCAAUUGCAUAUCUCCACUCCGCCCACCCAACUCUAAUUCUAUGUGCGACAUCUUCCUCGAUAUCUCCAUUUUCCUGGAUUAUCGACCCAAGAUAUUGAAAGUGCAGUCUUUUUUGUACUUCCUGGCCGUUAGUCUUAACUACUUCCUCGUCUCUACUCCUAUUAUUACUAAACUUGCAUUCCAUAUACUCUGUCUUAGUCCAGCUAAUUUUAAGACCUUUGGAUUUUAGAGUAUCCCUCCAAAGUUCUAACUUUGUGUUGAUGUUGUUUCGAGUCUCAUCGAUCAAAACUAUGCAAUUUGCGAACAACAUGCACCACAGUACCUCAUCCUGUAGGUGCCUAGUUAAAUCGUCCAUAACUAAGACAAAGGGAUACGGGCUCAAUGCUCACCCUUGAUGUCGACCUAUUGUUACUGAAAACUCACUCAUCUCUCCACCAGUUGUUCGUAUACUAGUUAGCGCUUCAUCGUACAUAUUUUUCACCAAGCAAUGUCGUGUCUAGAGACUCCUUUCUUUUCUGACACCCGCCAAAUCAAAUCUCGAGGUAUUCUAUCAUAAGCUUUCUCUAGAUAAAUAAAGACCAUGUGGAGGUUUUGUCCCUUUGCCCUAAAUCAGGAGCGGAUUGGCUAUCAUUCUUAAUUGCUUUGUGUGUGAAGUGUGGAACUUAUAUGGGGCAUCUUAAGCAUUUUGGGCUUAUGUACCAAUAUAAGGGAAAAAAGAUCAAGGCUUCAACACAUUCACAAAAAACAAAAUAACGUGCUGUAAAAUUGUGAUCCAUCAAUCCUAGUCAUGCUUAAUUAUGGAUUUACUGCCAUUUCACUAGUUUUCCUGGUAAUGUUCUAUUGACACAUCCUAGUAAUGCUUUUUUGUGGUUAACAAGUAUAUCCUUAUAUCUUUUUAGAUGCAUAUCUAUGAAUAGCCACUAAUGUUUUAUUGAGAUAUUUUGAUUUAUUGCUUAGAGUAAGAAUUCAUGGCCUAAUUCUUAAGUAAAAUAUGUGACCAUCAGAUGCAAAGAGCUGGCCUUCAGCCUGAUGUUGCAAGUUAUUCACUGCUGAUAAGUACUUAUGCAAAGGCCAGAAGGGAAGAUGAAGCACUUGCGGUAUUUGAGGAGAUGUUGGAUGCCGGUGUGAGGUUGGUAGUUCUAUAGUUUUAUUAGUUUGUUAGUUAUUUGUAUUUUGUUUUUUAUUUCUGAUUGAUUGGCUGUUUUCUCUCUCUCUCUCUCUCUAAAUUUGUCUUGGUGUGCAUGUGUUGGUAGAUAGAAUAGAUGAUGUGUGUGUGUUAGAGAGAGCGAGAGAGAGAUUUUACGAUUUUGCACCUGAUUGAAAUGUUACCAUUUGUCCAUUGUUAUCUUCUCAGGCCUACUCGUAAAGCAUAUAAUAUUCUACUUGACGCAUUCGCCUUAACUGGGAUGGUAGAGGAGGCUAGGACUGCGUUCAAAAGCAUGAGAAGAGACAAGUAAUCUUUUCUUCUCAUUUCAUCUCUGUUUUGGGUGGGCAUCAAUCCAUGAUUGUUUGACCCUAUUGCUUCUCUCUCUCUCUCUCUCUCUCUCUAGGUGCCACCCUGAUCUAUGUUCGUAUACCACCAUGUUAGCUGCAUAUGUGAAUGCAUCUGAUAUGGACGGAGCAGAGAAGUUCUUUGUGAGAAUGAAGAGAGAUGGUUUUGAGCCCAACGUCGUGACAUAUGGUACACUCAUGAAAGGUUAUGCCAAAGUGAACAAUCUAGAGAAGAUGAUGGGUAUAUAUGAUGAGAUGAGGAUGCAUGGGAUCAAGGCAAAUGUGACAAUCUUUACAAUUCUCAUGGAUGCUCAUGGCAAGCAAGAUUUUGGAAGUGGUAUUGUUUGGUACAAGGAGAUGCAGUCCAAUGGGUGCAUGCCUGACCAAAAAGCAAAGAAUAUCCUCUUGUCUCUGGAAAAACACCAGAGGAACAAAAGGAAGCAAAGGAACUGAUGAGUGAUGCCAUGAAAGAACACGUGGAUGGAACGGUUAAUGAAUUGCAUCUUGUGUCGGAUGAUGAUGAUGAUGAUGAUAAUGGCAAUGGUGAUGGUGGUGGUGAUGAUGAUGACGAUGAUGAUGACGACGACGACGACAUUGCAGCAGAAUAUCCUUUUGUGGGAGACUUUGAAAAAGUUUCACAAGAAUAGAGGCAACAACUUUCCAUAGUUCCUGUUGAUGCUAAAAGGCGAGAAUCUCUAUGGUAUAGCAGAGUUUGAUUUGAACUAGUUUCCAUGUAACAUAGUCACAAACUGAUUUUCCCGAGGGAAAAGUUUAUAUAGAGCCGAGGCUCUAAACAAUCAAAUUUGUGCCUACCUCAAAAAGUUCACUAGAAGAGAUUGUUUUGAUGCCCAAAUAUCUUCAAAUUGACAUCUCGACAUCAAGAUGUAUGGACAUGAUAAAAAAAAAUGGAUUUUCAGUUUCGGAAAUAGUGUAUUUUAUAACGCAUUUUUAGACCGUCAAUUUUCAAGAUUUCAUAGAUUUGUCGAUCUAUACUAUUUUUGAAGCUUUGAACUUUAUAAAUAAAUAUGAAAAUAUAUUUUAAGGCUAUCACAAAGAUUUCCAGUAGUAAAACAACAUUUCUCGACACUAUUUGAAGGUAGGCUCUAAUGUGAUUGUUUAGAGCUUAGGCUCUAUACAAACCUCACCCUUUUCUUGAUAUCUUCAGCUAUUCACCUUUUCNNNNNNNNNNNNNNNNNNNNNNNNNNNNNNNNNNNNNNNNNNNNNNNNNNNNNNNNNNNNNNNNNNNNNNNNNNNNNNNNNNNNNNNNNNNNNNNNNNNNNNNNNNNNNNNNNNNNNNNNNNNNNNNNNNNNNNNNNNNNNNNNNNNNNNNNNNNNNNNNNNNNNNNNNNNNNNNNNNNNNNNNNNNNNNNNNNNNNNNNNNNNNNNNNNNNNNNNNNNNNNNNNNNNNNNNNNNNNNNNNNNNNNNNNNNNNNNNNNNNNNNNNNNNNNNNNNNNNNNNNNNNNNNNNNNNNNNNNNNNNNNNNNNNNNNNNNNNNNNNNNNNNNNNNNNNNNNNNNNNNNNNNNNNNNNNNNNNNNNNNNNNNNNNNNNNNNNNNNNNNNNNNNNNNNNNNNNNNNNNNNNNNNNNNNNNNNNNNNNNNNNNNNNNNNNNNNNNNNNNNNNNNNNNNNNNNNNNNNNNNNNNNNNNNNNNNNNNNNNNNNNNNNNNNNNNNNNNNNNNNNNNNNNNNNNNNNNNNNNNNNNNNNNNNNNNNNNNNNNNNNNNNNNNNNNNNNNNNNNNNNNNNNNNNNNNNNNNNNNNNNNNNNNNNNNNNNNNNNNNNNNNNNNNNNNNNNNNNNNNNNNNNNNNNNNNNNNNNNNNNNNNNNNNNNNNNNNNNNNNNNNNNNNNNNNNNNNNNNNNNNNNNNNNNNNNNNNNNNNNNNNNNNNNNNNNNNNNNNNNNNNNNNNNNNNNNNNNNNNNNNNNNNNNNNNNNNNNNNNNNNNNNNNNNNNNNNNNNNNNNNNNNNNNNNNNNNNNNNNNNNNNNNNNNNNNNNNNNNNNNNNNNNNNNNNNNNNNNNNNNNNNNNNNNNNNNNNNNNNNNNNNNNNNNNNNNNNNNNNNNNNNNNNNNNNNNNNNNNNNNNNNNNNNNNNNNNNNNNNNNNNNNNNNNNNNNNNNNNNNNNNNNNNNNNNNNNNNNNNNNNNNNNNNNNNNNNNNNNNNNNNNNNNNNNNNNNNNNNNNNNNNNNNNNNNNNNNNNNNNNNNNNNNNNNNNNNNNNNNNNNNNNNNNNNNNNNNNNNNNNNNNNNNNNNNNNNNNNNNNNNNNNNNNNNNNNNNNNNNNNNNNNNNNNNNNNNNNNNNNNNNNNNNCAUAUUCAUGUGCCUUUUAGAUACCUAAGUGAAGUAUUUCUCAUUUUGAAGCCAGUACUUGCUGCUCAUCUGGAGUCUCAACACUUCCUUUGAAGUCUGGUACUUUAAGAGAAGUAUUAGGGAAGUGUUGAUUCUAUAUCUUAAAACGUUUGAUGAAGGUUUAACACCUAAAUCAAGUAUGCAAAACCUUAUCAGAGGUCUAGGGUUUAAAAACUGAAGGCUAUAUCAAAAUCAAAUCAUAUAAUCUAAUACAUUUUCUCUUUACAUCUAGAUCAUUCAAUAUAACUUUGGAUUGUAUUCUAUGUACUUCACAUAUUAAGCAAUCCAUUUUUUCUGAUACCUACAUCAUUCAAAAUCACUUUGAUUAUCCUUGAAGCAAAGUUUACAUGAAAAAAAAUAGUGAAAAAUCAUAAUCUAGGAUUACAUGAAAAAAAUGGUGAAAAAACAUAAUUUAGGAUUACAUGAAAAAAAUGGGGAAAAAAAAAAAACAUAAUUUAGGAAUCCUCUCUAACAUCAUGUAGAAUAUCAAUCUUUGAAUCAUAUCCUAUAGACUUCAAUGACUGUGUUAACCCACUUAACACUUCAAAGAUCUCAAUUGAUCUUGGGUUCCUCUUGUCUGAAGAGUAAAACUUAGCAACACUACCAUUCACCUCAAUUGAACUCCACCCUGGUAUCUUUUGAAUCCCUCUCUCUAUCAUCACCACCUUCAUUCUCGCCGCCUCUUUCCGCCUGCCUGCUGCCGCAAAAAUUUUAGAUAACAACUCAUAAUUUGCAGGGUUUGUAGGCUCUAUCUUAAUAAGUUACUCUAUAGCAUAUUCAGCCACCAUUACAUUACCAAAUGUGCGACAAGCUCCAUGUAAUGAGCUCCAAACUACACUAUCCUCUUCAAUAGGCAUCCUUUUUAUCAACUCCAGUGCCUCUUCAAUCCUUCCGGCUCGCCCCAGAAGAUCAACCAUGCAUCCAUAAUGCUCAAUUGUAGGAGUAUUAUGGCAGUCAUGGGUCAUAGAAUGGAAGUUUCUAGAGCCUUCAUCAACCAAACCAGCAUGUGUACAUGCACAUAAGACCCCCACAAAGGUAAUGCCAUCUAGCCUUGCUCUCUCCUCUCUCAUCCUUCUAAAGAUUGCUAAUGCUUGCAGGCCAUGGCCAUGCAUUGCGAGCCCACCGAUCAUGACAUUCCAAGUGACCUCUCUCUGUCUCUCUCUCUUAUCUCCGCAAACACACAAACCACUUUCUCUAUACACCCGCACUUUAAAUACAUAUCGAUCAAUCCAUUAGAAAUGAGUGAUUUCCCCUUAAAUCCAUUAUUGUUAGCAUAAUUAAAGAUCCAUUCACCCAUCUCCAGAGCUCCUAAUCUAGCAGAAGCUGACAACAUAAUCACCAGAGUCGCAUUGUUAGGCUUUGCAUUCAACCUUAGCAUCUCUCUAAACGUUUCCAAAACCUCACAGUGAAACCACCAUGUGCAUAGCCCCCAAGUAUGGCGUUCCAAGAAAACAGUCAUCUCUCCGAAAGCCUUUAAAGGUGACCCCAAAUCUCCAUUAUCAACAUAACCCACCAAAAGUGUGUUCCAAGAAAUUACAUCUUUCUCCACCAUUGAAACAAGAAGCUCUCGAGCCACACACGUCCCCCAAUUUUGCAUAACCCCCAACCAUGAUAUUUGAAGAGAUCACAUCAUUCUCAGGCACAAUAUCAUAAAAGUAACGAGCUGAUACCAAAUCAUUAGAGAGUAUAUAGCCCUGUAUAAUUGAGGUCCAAGAAACCACAUUUCUUUGAGGCAUUUGAUCAAACACCCAAUGAGCCGACAAAAUUCUUCCACAAUUUGAGUACAUAUCAAUCAAUGCCGUGCCCACAAAAAAGUUAUCUUCAAGUCCGGUCUUAACAAUUAUACAAUGAAUCCAUUCUCCUUCUUAAUUUAAUUUAGCACAGGCUCUCAUAAUGAAAGAAUUUAGCACAUGCUCUCAGAAUGAAAGAAUUUAGCACAUGCUCUCAGAAUGAAAGGGAAGGUGAAAUUAUUAGGUCCAACAUCUCUAGAAUGCAUGUUUUUGUACAACCCUAGUGUUUCCAAGAAAUAUCCAUUCUCUACCUAUUCUUUGAACAUAGUGUUAAAGAGGACCACAUUUGGUUGAAGCAUCUUGUUGAAGAGUGGGCGUGUGUAAUCAAUGCUAUUUUUAAUGGCACAAAAAGCGACGAUUUUCGGGGGUAAGAAGCAAUUUUGAGAGAGAUUUUCAGUGAAAAUUGGGGCAUGAAUCUGGUAGAGUUGCUUAAGGGUGCUACAUCUGUGCAAGAGAGAGGUGAGUCUCUGUUCUAUGAGCCUACCAUGUGAGAGCUCAGCUAGUUUUAAAAUGCUCUUCCCUAUUUUAGCAGAGGUGGAGUAAUUGAGAGGAGGUAAUGCCUUAUAGAGUGAAAUUUCCUCAGGAUUAGGUAGUGGAAAUACCCAUAAUCAAUGAUAAAGCCGUAGGGUGGGGUCAGGGUCCACUUAACCUGGACCCUACAAGAUACCUAAAGAGUUAGGUUCAAGUCCUAAAAGGUCUGACUGCGUUGUUAUGUUGGAGCAAUUUGUGUCAACCAAAACUCAGCAAACAUUUUAGUUGGAGCCCCAAUUUUAAAGUCCGGGUUUCCAUGAAGCUUGCAAUUUUGAAUGGACGGUUAAGAUUCUCCACGAUAGAGGGAAUCUCAAAUGGACCGUAAGGAUGUAAAAGGUUUGGGUAGCCAAGUGUGCGGGUUCGAGUACUAACGGCCACUUUGUGCAUAAAAAGCCAAAGGUUAGGAGUGACUCCAGCUCACCCCUCCUAGGAUUUUGUGUAGGAGGGACCAACAUAGAGUUACGGCUUUUUUUUUCUUUUUUUUUUAAGCUUUCUAUGCUUCCCUUACAAUAUAAAACUUAUAUAUUUUCUUUUAUCCCACUGUCCAUUCUGAAUGGACGGCUAGGAUGGCUCCAAUCGUAAUGUCACGUUUUGAUCUGAUAGGUCAAAAUAGAAUCUCAAAAUACUUUCAAUCACCUAUGCAAUAAAGCAUAUUGUGUGUUAGGUUUUGCACUGCCUUAUGCCCGCACCUCCCCCCACCAUGCGUCUCUCUCUUAACAACCUUUCCCUCUCUCUACAAAAGUAUCUUCUACUAAUAACUCUAUUAAAAUUCUUUCUUUCUCUCUAUAUUAAGUAAUUGUAAAUAAAUAAUUAUAGUAAAAUUCUCUCUCUUUCUCUGGUAAUAAUCUAUUCCAUUAAAUUUGUUUUAUAUAAUUUUUUAAAAAAAUCAAAACUCCUGAAUUAAUAUAAUAAAAAUAAAUAAAUUAAAUUAGAGAGAUUUAUUUUAUUGUCAUGUUGUAUUUUAAACUUUAUUUUGAUUAUAAAAUAAAUUUAAUAAACAACAUACAUUCAUGAUGCGAUGAGUUCUCAAUAUUUUCAUAUUUUUUACACAAUAAUAAUGUCACUAUUUCUUUUAGAAACUUACAAAAUUAAAUUUUUGAGAAAUUAUAAUAUAUAUUUUUUUAAAACCUCCUAUAUGAAAGUGUUUUAUAUUAUUUUUUAUAUGAAAAAUUGUUUAUCUAAUUUUAUAAUAUGGAAGUGUUUUUCUAAUUUUUUAAAAUUAUAUAAAUGUAAUGUUAUAAUAUUAUGUUAUAAUUAAUAAUUAUACAGACAUCCAGACAUGAAAUCAUCGUCUCAAUAUUCACCUACUUUUACAAAGUAAUGAAAGUACAUACAACAUCACUCCUAAUUUCUUAGAAACUAAAAAACAUUAUUUUAAAAAGUUAUAUUGAUUUUUUGAAAAAAAAAAUGAAACAAAAAUUGUUGAUUCAGCCGAUUUUCCAAUCCAAUCCACCCAUCCGACACAGAUAUGGGUGAGACUGGUUGGUGUUACCGAUCCAUUUCUUAAACAUUGUUAGGAAAUAUCAAAUUCCUUGAUACGUAAUGGAAGUAGGCAGAGACUUCGGAUAAAUAGCAUAUGGAAAGAUAUUGAAAUCUCAUUCAUUAUCUGCCUUCUCUUUUUAGAAUUAGGUACUUAACCAAUUUUUAUCUCUUUUAUUUUUAUUUUUAUUUUUAUUUUUUUAUUAUUAUUAUUUUUACUGUGAUACUUAUGGGGAGCCUCAUAAUUAGGGCUGCUAACCGGCCAGCCCUAGCCUCCGCCCGAGUCCCAAUAGGGCCGGCCGAGGCCAUAACCGAGCGAAACCAAGAAGGCCAGGGCCAAGGCUCUUCCUAAAAACAAAAAAACUAAAAAAAGAGGGGCGGGUAGGGCCGCACCGGCCUUGGCCCAAGUCCUACCUUCUGGCCGUGUUGCCCAGGCCCAGGCCCUAGUUUUUUUAGGGCCAUACUGUGAUGAAUUAAGUUUGCGCAACAAUUAUUACUUUCAGCAAUAAAACUUUUCGUCAUAGAAUAAAUAAAAAUUCAAUUUAUUAGAUAUUUAAAUGACCCAUGCUAAUUCAGACCAAGUUAAGUUGGAUUAAUGCAAUUACAUUGGACAACAUUUUAAAAAUUCAGAGCAGGUACCAACAUCGAACGCCCAUUUGCUCAGUCAAUGUAUUAAUUAUUAACUGUAGACAUAUUAAUUCUAAUAUUUAAGAAAACCAUAUGCUGGCUCAUUUAAAUACCAAUGGGCCUCGCUCAUGAUAUCAUUCCCAUAUCUUAGGAGUGGCAAAGCGCUGGGCGAUCGGGCCGGGACCAUAGAAGUCGGCCAGGGCCUGGGCUGGAUGUGACGAACACGAAGUUGCUAACUAACUGUUUGAAACCGAAAUGCUACAAUGUGCGUGCGGGUGCGCGCGCGCACACAUACACACACACAUAUAGCGUGCGGGUGCGCGCGCGCACACAUACACACACACACACACAUAUAUAUAUAUAUAUAUAUAUGGAAAAAGCUGGGAUUAGCCCACUGGUUCAUAUGAACAUAUGAGCCCAACGGCCCAUAUUAAAUCGGGACCGAUCUGGCUAUCACAUGUGUCUGAUAGUGUUUGAAUUUUAUUUUAUUUUUAUAAAUCUAAACCAUUUGAAAUUUUAGGCACGUGUUUAUCAAAACUAAGUAAAUCUUCGACAAAUAUCAAAAAAAAAUUUUACAUGAAAUAAAUCUGAGCCAUUGGGUGUUUAUUGUAGCAGUACACACAUGGGCAUACAUGGAUUUUUUUCCUAUAUAUAUGGGAGUGGAUUAUGUACGCUCAGUCUUUGACCGCUACAGUAAAUGCCAAAUGGCUUAGAUUGAAUCUAGACCGAUCUGACGGUCACGACCUCAUUUCGUAUUUCGUAUUUUAAUUUUAAUUUUGUUUUCUAUAAAUCCAAAUCACUUGAAAUUUUAGGCGUGUGUUUUUCUUAUCAAAGCGCACCUAACAAAAUAAAAUAAAAUAAAAAUUUGCAAAAACAUUUGACCAAAAUACCCCCAAAACUUUUUGGGGGUAUUUUGAUCAAUUUAUUUUGAUAUUUUUCGUAAAUUCGCCUGUUUUUGAAGAACACGCACAUAAAAUUUCAAGUGAUUUGGAUUUAUAAAAAAAUUAAAAAAUUAAAAUUCAAACACUUCAGCAGUACGCCCAUGGGCAUACAUAAUCUUUUUCCUAUAUAUAUCUAUAAUUUUGCAGAAUUUAUCAAAAUGCACCUGAAAGGUUUAUUAUUUAACACUUUUCCAUUUUUACUUAAUUUCAGAAAGCACAUCACUAUCAAAAUUCACAUAAUUAUGAGUUAGAAUAAUUGAAAAAUGAGAAAAUCGUUAAAUAGUUAUUAGGUGUAUUUUGAUAAAUUUCUCUAAAUGUUUAAAUUACAUGUGAACAUUAUUCUAUACUCCAAAAUCCACAAAAUUUAGUAGAAAUCUUCCAAAUUUUGAACAAAUUUAUGGCUCUAACUGCGGCAUUCUUCGGAGAAAAAAAAAACACAAACAGUUGGGCAUGGCGAGCGCUGUACAAACAGUAUGCGGGCAAGCUUAUGGUGCGUAAAAAUACAGCAUGUUGGGGAUCAUAUGCCAAAAGGCCAUGAUCAUCAUGCUCCUGGCCUCUUUCGUGCUCUGCUUCCUCUACUGGUUCUCCGGGUCGGUGUUGAUAGCCAUAGGCCAAGCAGAGGACAUUGCAGCUCAAGGUCAGAUACUUGCUAGAGGUCUCAUCCCUCAGCUCUUUGCAUUUGCUCUGAACUGUCCCAUGCAAAGAUUCUUACAGGCUCGAUAUGUUAGUAGUGGGAAUGGAGGGUGGGUAUUUUAGUACUGGGAAUGGAGGGUGUGGGACAUUAUGUCUAGGCAUUNNNNNNNNNNNNNNNNNNNNNNNNNNNNNNNNNNNNNNNNNNNNNNNNNNNNNNNNNNNNNNNNNNNNNNNNNNNNNNNNNNNNNNNNNNNNNNNNNNNNNNNNNNNNNNNNNNNNNNNNNNNNNNNNNNNNNNNNNNNNNNNNNNNNNNNNNNNNNNNNNNNNNNNNNNNNNNNNNNNNNNNNNNNNNNNNNNNNNNNNNNNNNNNNNNNNNNNNNNNNNNNNNNNNNNNNNNNNNNNNNNNNNNNNNNNNNNNNNNNNNNNNNNNNNNNNNNNNNNNNNNNNNNNNNNNNNNNNNNNNNNNNNNNNNNNNNNNNNNNNNNNNNNNNNNNNNNNNNNNNNNNNNNNNNNNNNNNNNNNNNNNNNNNNNNNNNNNNNNNNNNNNNNNNNNNNNNNNNNNNNNNNNNNNNNNNNNNNNNNNNNNNNNNNNNNNNNNNNNNNNNNNNNNNNNNNNNNNNNNNNNNNNNNNNNNNNNNNNNNNNNNNNNNNNNNNNNNNNNNNNNNNNNNNNNNNNNNNNNNNNNNNNNNNNNNNNNNNNNNNNNNNNNNNNNNNNNNNNNNNNNNNNNNNNNNNNNNNNNNNNNNNNNNNNNNNNNNNNNNNNNNNNNNNNNNNNNNNNNNNNNNNNNNNNNNNNNNNNNNNNNNNNNNNNNNNNNNNNNNNNNNNNNNNNNNNNNNNNNNNNNNNNNNNNNNNNNNNNNNNNNNNNNNNNNNNNNNNNNNNNNNNNNNNNNNNNNNNNNNNNNNNNNNNNNNNNNNNNNNNNNNNNNNNNNNNNNNNNNNNNNNNNNNNNNNNNNNNNNNNNNNNNNNNNNNNNNNNNNNNNNNNNNNNNNNNNNNNNNNNNNNNNNNNNNNNNNNNNNNNNNNNNNNNNNNNNNNNNNNCUCAUCUUAUCUCCUAUUACUGUCACACCUAAAUUCUCUCUAAUGGAUUCAUUCUGAAUUUUAUCCCUUUUUGUCUUGCUACUCAUCCAUCUCAACAUCAUCAUCUCCGCUGCACUCAUUCUAUGGGUAUAUUAUUUUUUGUUCGCCCAACAUUCUGCCCUACAUAGCAAAGGUGGUCUCACAGUUGUUCUAUAGAACUUGCCCUUCUGCUUCAUUCGUAUAAUUCUAUCUACAACAUCUUUCCCAAUCUCUCAAUUUUCCUAGAUUAUCGACCCAAGGUAUCAAAAGUGCAGUCUUUUUAUACUUCCUGACCGUUAAUUUUAGCUACUUCUUCAUCUCUACACCUAUUAUUACUAAACUUGCAUUUUAUAUAAUAUAUAUGAUAUUUAUAUAUUAUAUAGAAUAUAAUAAAUAUAUUAUAUAAAACAAAUUAUAUUAAUAAAAUAAAUAUAUAAUAUAAUAUAAUAUAAUAUAAUUAUAAUAUAAUAUAAUAUAAUAUUAUAAUGUAAUAUUAUAAUUACACUAUAUUAUAUUAUAUUAAUAAUACAAGUAUUAUGUAUUAGGGUGGAUAUAUUAUACAUAUAUUGUUUAAUAUAUAAAUAAAAUAUUAUAUAAUAUAUUAUAGGAGAAAUAUCCCCGUACCCUUUAUUUUGGUUUUCUUAUCUCAAUAGACCGAUUCAAAAUGUAUCUCCUAACUCUUUGACUAACUUUAUUAUUUUUAACUAUUUUUUUAGCCUUAACAAAUAUAAAAAAGAUAUGUUCAUUCUGAACUCGUUCUUUCUUUACGUGAUAUAUUCACGUAGAGAGAAAAAAAUGAUGGUGUUUAGAAUUGAUAUGUAUUUCUUAUAUUUGUUUGGGGCAAAAAAAUAAGUUUAAAGUGGAUAAAAUUAACUUAAGGGGUUAAAAUAAAGAUAUAAAACUCAAAUUUUUUUUGACCCAAUAUAUGUUUUGAAACUUUGGGUCUAUUGAGAUAUAAAACUUAAAAAUAAAAAGUAUGAAUAUAUUUUCCCUAUAUUAUAUUGUAAAUAGUUAUAUUGUGAAUAUGUUUGGAAAGUUUGGGUUCCAAGGCUUCCCGGGAACUUAAAACGUCUCAUUUUAAAAGGCGAAAAGAAACUUUGGGGAAAUUUGGGGUUCCCACUACUAUAGCAGUUCCCGCAUAGCCAAACACGGAAAUGUUACAGUAUGAGAAACAUUAUAUUUCGAAAAGUUUUCUUUCCUGCAAACAAUCACGUAUUAAGAGAGACAAAAUGUAGUGAAUAUCAACCGUCCAUUUAAAAAAAGAAAUAAUGAUGUAAAUCAAUGCCUUAGGGUACUUGUUUAACCCACAAAUUUUGUAUAGUCGAAUUUAGGAAAAUAAGAGAUCGAUUUCAAGUUCUUGAAAGGCUAGAUAUAGCCAGUUAUGAAAUGGACAGCCUCUGAUCCUCGAAUUCAAAAAGAGUUGUAUUUUAAAUUAUUUCUCUGAGAUUAUCUACAAAGAAAUUAUUUAUUUUUCGUACAUGGAGAUCUCAAUUUUUCUUGUCUCUUAAAUUUCAAAGUAAGCAUUCGUAAGAAUGUCAUUAAAUAGGUACAAAAUUCUAAAAAAAUAUUCUUGGAUUUCGUGACUCACCAAGCCAUCCAAUUUGAUAUCAAAUGAGUGGAAAUGAUUAUGAUAUCCAAGUACAAAAGAUAAAUGGCAUUUUUGUAGAUAAUCCCUAUUUUUCUUCACCUUCUUCAUCAUAGCAAGAAUAAGGUUUGUGCCAAAAUUUAAGGUUAUUAAAUGCCCUUUAAGGCCCUCAAAAUAAAUGGGGAAUACUGCAGGAAUCUACCCAAGACAAAAUGUUUUUUGGGAUUUCCAACAUUGUUAUUAGAGGUUGAAAUGAGAACCCUAUAUACCACCAAGCCGAGAAGGAAGUUUAAAAACCCCACCUUAGCUGCCAUAUUUAUUUAUUUUUAUUUUUUAUUACUAUUAUUUUAUCUUUUAGGGUAGGCACUAUCAAACUUUGAAACACCCUAGUCUGGGAUAUCUCCUCUUAUUAUAGGGAGUAAAACCUAGUAGUUAGAUUUUUAAACAUCAAAAUGAGGAUUAAUAGUUUUAUUUUAGGAUUAUAUACCAUGAGACCAUUUAUCUUUGUUAGAUAGAAGUCACAAUUGAUACAAGCCAUUAGAUGUUAAAUUGAAUAGCUUGCGGCCUAACAUAAAGUUCGAGAAAUUUUUAUUGAACUUUAAGUCUAGUCAAUGACAUACUUAAAACCUGAUGGACAUGAGAAAUGGUCUCUUUAUAUACUUUUUCUUUUAAAAUUAGAAAUAUAGAGCUUGCAAAAACAUAAGAUUAUAUAUUGUGAGACUACUUUCCUUUAAGAUAAAAAGGUUACACCCUUACCCAUCAAAUACAAAAUCAUUGGCCUAGCGCUGUUUCACAAAGUAUGAGAAAAACUUUCUUAAACUUCAAGUGCCAUCAAUGGCAAAUCCCCCAUCUGCUCAUUUGCCUCGAUGGCUAUUGUGAUUGUUACAAUUCAAAAUUUUUGGACAAUUCGAUCUAAAAGUUUUGGAAUACAAAUCUAAUUUUAUUUUAUUUUUUCGAAAUACUUAGAUAUUGAUUCUGAAGUGGAUCUCAAGAAAUUUUGGAUAAAAAAUCAUGUUCUUUGACUGAGGGAGUAAAUGUAUAGUACGCUCCUCCGUGACUUUUCUAUACGCAUUCGAAAUAAAAUAUUGCCCUGAGAAAUGGUGUUCUAAUUUAUGGCUGGUUCUUGAAUUAAAAUUGUUCUUUAUGUUGAUAGAUAAAACAAUUAAUAUAAAAUUAUUUUCAAUUUGCAGCUUGGAGAUAUGGUAUUCUCAAGGGUUGGUGCUUAUCUCAGGACUCCUACCUAAUGCAGAAGUAUCCUUGGAUUCCAUUUCAGUUUGGUAAGUUCCUUUCUUCUUUUUUUUUCUCUUUCUGGCAACAAAAGAAAAGAAAAUGUAUUUAAUAUGGAAAUUUGUCAAAAUGCAUCACAUUAUAUCCAUUUUUUAAUUAAAUUGGAAAAGAUCCGAAUCAAAAUACAUGUAAUCAAGAUUAAUGAGUUGGAAUAGUUGAAUGUGGGUAAAAUGUUACAUAAUUGAUAAGUUGGGUAUAUUAUGAUUAGUUACCCUUAUUUAAUUUUUACAAAUUUAAUUUUAUUGUAUUGUUUAUUUCAUUUUAACUUAAUUUCCUAUUGUUCAUGUUUAACUCUUGUUUUUUCUAAUUUAAAAAUUGAGAGAGAAGUGAAGGAACCAAUCUAGAAUUUGAAAGGUGGAUUUUAUUUUUUAAAAUUAUGAUUUAAUGGGUGACAUGUUUGUUGUUUAUUUUAUGGGAAAGUAUAUGAUGAGACUAUUUAUCUUUGGUGUAAGGUGGUCACAAUACAUCUUGACCACUGGAUGGGAAAUUGGGUGGCUGCAUUUAUUUCAUUGACCAAGCUCAAAGUUAAAAAGAAUUUUUCUUGAACUUGUGAUACACCCAAAGUAUCAACUUUCACAUUGGAUGAUUGUAAGUAAUUGUGACCUCCCUAUUUUAAAAGUAAAUGGUCUCAUUGUAUACAAUUCUUUAUAAUAAAUGUACAUGUUAGACAACUUAUACUCUUGAUUGUUUCAAUUAUACAGUAUGAACUACCUUAACUGGGAUAUGAUGCUCAUGUUGGGCAUAAGUUAUGCAGCAAGGUAUAUAUGCAUUAUAGAAUCUCCCAUAAUUUGUUUUUGCCCGUGUAUAUUUGAUAUAUGUAUGAUACCUACCUAUAUUUAAGUUCCCCUACCCUAAGUUUCUCCUUCUCUCUAGUUAUUAAUGAAAAUCGGAUAGAGACCUUCUCUCUCACUGACUUACCCAAAAAAAAAAAAAUUCCCCUUCUCUAAACGGUGAAAACAGGCAUCCCGAGGCAAUUUGACUUUCACCUGGUCGGGUUUUUUUGCUACCUUCCAGUGAUUGUGAACUUCGAAAUUUCUAGUCCUAAAAAUUUUCAUUAUUAAAUUUUUUAAUAAAGAUUAUAUUUAUUAUUCUAAAUUAUUUCCAAAAUCUAGGCACUAAUAAGAAAAAAGUAAGGAAUUACUUUAAUUUAGCGUUUAUUUUUAAAAUAUAUUUUAUAGUGGAAACAUUUGGAGUAGGAAAUUCGAAGUUCACCAAUAAAGUAGUGAACUCUAAACUUGGAUUAGGUGGACUACAACCCGACCAUGUUAGUCCAGGACAUGAUCGAGACCCAGUUGGGCCUAGGUCAAGUAGACCUAGACUCUGUUGGGUCCAAGUCAAGUGUCAAGUGGAGCCAGACCAAACCUUGCCCUUCACAACUUUGCUUAAUAUCUCAAGUUGGAAUACAUACACAUGUUAUUCUUGGGCUGCAUGCCUUAUUUAUGUAUAUAUGCAUAUAUGUACGUAUAUGUAUGUAUAUAUGUAUUAUGCGGGUGGAAAACUUGUAAAUUAUUUGUUGAUAUAAAGAAUAAUUUGCAGCAUCCGAGUCGGGAACGAGCUCAGGGCGCAGAGGCCGCGAACCGCAAAAUUCUCAGUGGUGGUGGUGACAACUACAUGUUUUAUUAUCAGCUUGAUUUUGAGCAUUGCAGUUUUGGUGUUGAAGAGACCAUUGAGUUUAGCCUUCACUAGUUCUGAUGAAGUGAUUGAGGCUGUUCAAACCAUGACUCCUCUUCUUGCAUUAUCCGUGCUCCUUAAUGGAACACAACCCAUUCUCUCUGGUACACUAACAAAUCCUUCAAGCUUGUGUAUGCAUAUAUCUUUUACAUCCGGCUUUCAGUAUUUAUUGUUAGUAAAGUCCGUCCAUGAGAGAGAGGACUUCCACUUUUGACUCAUCAAGGGCAAUAUCGGAAUGUAUGCCAUUAGACUGUUGUAGUGAAUAAGAGAAUAAAUUGGGAGAGAUAAAUUUAGGGAAAAUUACAAAUAACUCGUAAGGUUAGAAUUUUUAUGCAAGGUACAUCAAAUUUUUUCUCACUUUUAACCUCAAAGUAUACUUUUUUGACAAAUACACAGAAUAAAAAAUAAAAAAUAGUCUAAACUGCCCUCCUUGGCUUUUACCCACACCUCUCUCUCCUCAGUCCCACAAAAAGGCAGUCCGGCGUACUCUUUGGGUGGUUUAGCAGUGUAAUGUCAGUUCAGUAAAUAACAGUGGUGGUCAAGCACUGAUAAAGAACGGUCUGGCAAUAGGCCCAUGUGUCUGAUACUACCAAGAAGCGGUCCGGCAAUAGGCCCAAACUGCGGUCAGGCAAUGUCAAAGAGCGGUCCGACACUUUUUUUAGUUUGAUGGGGUCUAGCAAUGUCAAAAAGCGAUCCGACAACCCAUGUAAGCACACGUGAAUGUCCAGUCAAAAUUAAAUUUUAUAUACAAAAAAGGGUAUUUUUGUCAAAAAAUGUAUUUUUUUUAUACUUUGGGGUAUUUGCUAGAAAAAUGUAUUUUAGGAAAAAAAUGAGAAACAAAAAUUUGAUUGGAGGUAACUUGCCUAAAAAGUCUAGUCUUGAAGUUAUUUGUAAUUUUCCCAUAAACUUAGUAGUCGACAGCUUCAUUAGAGAUAUGCUCAUGUGGCCCCUUUCACUCUCUCCUCUCCUCUCUCUCCCUUUCACUCUCUCUCUCUCUUUUCACUCUUUCUUUUUUCUCUCUCUCUUUUCCCUCUUCUCUCUAUCUCUUUCUUUCUCUCUCUUCUCUCUCUCUAAUUUCUAAAAAAUACACUUUAACUAUCUUAACAGGCAAAAGAGAGGACUUUAUAGAUGUCAAAUUUUGGGAUCCAGUUUAGAGUUACUAGUGAAAAAAAAACCUACGAAUUCUUAAGAACUAAUGCAUGAUUGUUUAAAAAUUGGAUGGUCUCUCUUCAAUCUUUUUGAAAGCUUUUUUCCUCAAGUACAUGGAGAACGUGUAUCAAUUUAUUCACCUUUUUUCUUUUUGUCCUUUUUUUUCUUUUUUCUUUUUUAUUUAUGUUUGUUGCAUGGUUUAGGAGGUUACGGCCCCAAAAUUUUGUGCCAUAGAGUUACACCUAGACAAGGUUUUACCCAAGGGAGUAAAUAUACUAUGGAAAAAGUAUCCAAUAAGAUUGUAUGUUUUUGACACAAGGAGGUCACAAUGACAUUGAUCAUUAGAUAUAAAUUUUAGCUAAGGGUGUGCAACUGGUUAGGUACAAAAAUCAAAUAAAUUUUCUCGAAUUAUAUGAUACAACUAUAGCUUUCAGAUAUCACAUCCAAUGGCUGAAAGUGAUUGUGAUCUUCUUAAACUAAAAAUAAAUGGUUUUAUAGCAUACAAUUACUAUACAUAUGCUCCGACAUAUAAUCUUUUAGCUUACUAUAAAGACCAGCUAAGGAAUUAUAAAUUUGUUAAUGCAGGAGUUGCUAUUGGUUGUGGAUGGCAAGCCUUGGUGGCCUAUGUUAAUUUGGCAACUUAUUACCUAAUUGGCCUUCCCAUUGGAUGUUUUCUUGGCUUUAAGACUGAACUAGAUGAAGCUGUAAGUUGGCAUACAAAAACUUGAGAAAUAAUUAAUGCAUAUUAAUUUUUAUUUUUAUUUUAUUUUAUUAAAUUUAUUAAUAUACACAUUUUAGAUGAACUAUUUAACAUUUUACCUGAUCUCAUUGAUUUAAUUUAAAAAAACUUAUUGGAAUAAUUGAAAAUGGAUAGAACGUAAAAUACUUGAUAAAUCCGACAUAUUUUGAUGAAUUCUACUUUUAUUUUUAUGUUCAAUUCUCCUUUUAUUCUUAAUUUAUUUACUUUUUAUUUUUAAUUCAAUUUGGACUGGGGAUUUGGUGGGGGCUGAUUAAUGGAGUGGGACUACAAACUGCAAUUCUUAUUGUUCUAACAGCCAGGACCAACUGGGAUAAAGAGGUAAAUCUAGUAGUAAGCAUGAUUUCAAAGUUUUUCUCUCUUCUGCCUGUUUCCAAUGAGAAAUCCGACCAUCCAAGAAUGAAAACAAUCCCCUAUCCUUUCCUUCUUUCUCUCUCCAACAGCCUCACAUUGUUUAAACUCUCUCUCUUAACCUCACUUUGUUUAAAUUUACUCACUCUAGUAACCUCACAUUGUUUAAAUUUACUCUCACUCUAUCUAUUGGGCAAGCUUUUUAUGAUUCCUCUACAAUACAGAAGUUCUAUCUUUCCCUUUAUCCAACUGUCCAUUCUGAAUAGAGGGCUAAGAUUGCCCCAAUCUCAAUGUCACGUCUCUAUACUAUUAUAUUUUAAAUUUUUUUUUAUAAACCAUUUUAACACCAAAUUUUAGCCGUCCAUUCUUCUAUUAAACUUGCGCUAGUGAAAAAUAUAAAAAAAAUAUUUUCAAUAAAAUAAAAUAACCAAAAUACCCUUGAAAGAUUCAAUGGGUAUUUUAGUCAUUAUAUUUUAUCAAAAAAUUAUUUUAAAUAUUUUUUAUAGAUGUGCCCCAAUGAGAAGAUUCCAUGUACCAAAUUUCAUAUUCAUACAAUUUGUAUAAAAAAAAACUAAAAAUAAAAUAUUUUGAGACAUCGGAUCUAAUAUCAAACGGUGAGUGACUCUCUUGAUCAAAAUUGGAUGGUUGGAUGGUAGGGAGAGGAUAGAAUUUCUAUGUUGUAGGGGAAGCAUAGAAACCUUCCCCUAUCUAAUAAUCUCACCUUAUUUAUAUUUACUCUGUCUCCUCCCCCUGUAAACCAAAAAAAUAAUCUCACAUUGGUUUCCAUAAGGCUUAUGAAACCAAAAUAAAGCCUCAUCUCAAAUCCUUGUCCGGAAAGCACUUUUGGCAACGAAAUUAAAUUUGAAACUAAAAAAUCAAUAAAGAUCUUGUAGAUCUAUUAACACUUAUAUUUAGGGCAAAAUGGCGGUCUAAAUAAUUUGUUACUGUUGGGCUCACCCAAUUGAGAGCCAUCUUGCACGAAUGAGGAUGGAUAUAUGGAAUAAAUAUAUGCCAAAAUUGAUAUGUGUGUAUGAGUAGAAAAAAAUUGCAAUAAAGUAAAUAACUUAUUGGCAUCGAGAUUUUACGUCGUUUACCUUUUGAGUCUAUGUCCAUGGGAAAAAAGAAACAAAUCCACUAUAAAAAUUAUGGUUACAAUGUUUUUUUAAGAAACAAGUUUUUUUAGACUCUCUGAUUUCUUCCAUAAGCUUUUCUCUCUCUCUCUCUCUGAGGUUCUUUUAUCUGUUAGAUGUUUUUUUGUUCUUUUCUAGAGGUUUUAUCUCUCUUUUUGAAAAAAAUGGUCUCACUCUCUCUUUUCUUCUUUCUUCUCUCUUUAAAAACAUUGUAACUUUCUCUCUUUUCUUCUUCUCUAUAAGAAAAUGUUCUCUAUAUUUUUCUAAUACACCAAGAAAAAUCUCACAUUCAAUAGAGGAAUACACAAACUAAAAAAAACCUAAACGCCCAUAUUUUCACAUUUUAUAUAGGUCAAUGAGAUGAGUAUCUCGUAACCUUUCUAUCCCUUUUUAAUUAAUAGAUAAGAGAAGAAACUCUACCCCAACAAAACCAUCAUCACCUGAGAUCUUAUUUGGGGAAGAUGGCUUGGUCAAUGAGUAAUUUUUUUUGACUUUUCAAAACUACCCUUUAGGACAAUUUCCCCUUCCACAAUGGUAUGGGGCAUCCAACAAUUACAAUAUAUAUAUUUUUAGAGUUUAAAAUCCUAGUUUUUUCUAUUCAAACCAAGAUAAACGAUGUAAUGGUUUUUCAAUGCUUAAAAUGUAAUUUUUAAUGAGUUAUGAGAUGAGGCUUUACUAAUUUUGAUAGAGUUACAGCUCUAUCAAUCCAUUUUCCUUCACUCACACACUCUCUCCUAACCUCACAUUAUUUAAAUUUACUCUCACUCUAAUAACCUCACAUUGUUUAAAUUUAGUCUCUCUUUUAACCUCACUUUGUUUAUAUCUACUCUCUCUCAUAAGUUCACAUUAUUUAAAUUUAUUCUCUUUUUUGGGUAAAUUAUUUAAAUUUACUCUCUCUUCUAUAAUAACCUCUAAUAACUUUUUAUAUUUUUUUCCUUUUCUUUUUCAGGUUGACAAGGCGGCUGCAGGAAUAAAGCGCUCGAAUGAUGAAGCAACAUUUGAAAAUGGGGCGGCGGCUUAAAAGAUUGUGUACAGCUUCUCUCUUUGGCGGUUGCUGAUUAUGUAACCGUGUUGUUAUGAUCUUGAUCAUUCUUGAUUGAUUAAUAAAAAGUAUGGAAUAUUGUCAAGAAAAAAAGAAAAAGAAAAAAAAGAGGACAAGUCCAAUAGGCAUGUACCCUGCCAAAAAAAAACAACAAAAAAAAAAAAGAUAAAAAAAAAAAAGUUAAAAUAAACCAAACUAAACAAAAAAACCAAACUAAACAAAAAAUAACAUAAAAAAUCAAAUUACAUAUAAAAACCAAACUAAACAAAAAAUAACAUAAAAAAUCCACAUGAGCUAAAAAAAAAUGUAAAACAUGAAUUUAGGAGAACUAAAUAUGAAAGUCCAAACGUUAGGGAUACGUCAAAAAAUUCAAAAAAAAGAAAGAAAAUAUAUAUAAAAAAGGACCUAUGACAAUAACAAGUAAAAUAUUACCAUAAAAAAUCCAAAUUACAUAGAAAAACGUAUACAUUGGUUUUAUAAUUUAAUACAUUUUUUAUAUGACAAUAACAACUCACAAAUUACCGUAAGAAAAAUCCAAAUUACAUAUAAAAACUUAUAUGUUGGUUUUAUAAUUUAAGAAAUUUUUGAUAAUUUUGUAAUAACCCCUACUUUUACCCGAAUACUCGGCUCAGAAAUUGAUUGGUGGGUUACUUGGGGCUAUCAACUCCAAAAACGUGGAUUAAGAGAGCGGUGGAGGAGAGAAGAAGGGGCAAAGAUUUUCUUCUUUGGAGAUGCAAGAGAGAGAGUGAAGGGGAAGGAGGGCUUAGAAAGAGAGAAAGUAGGGUGGCAAUGGACUUAGACCCGGGUCCGAACCCGACCUGGGUCCGGGCAUGGGUCCAAGAGUUGGAACCCCCAUAGUCCAGUUGCCACCCCUAAACAGAAGGAGAUGAUUUUUCACUUAAUGAGAGAAUUUUAGUAUAAAUUCUGAGGCAAAGUUCACUAGUCAAUGAAUAAGAAAACUUUUUCAGGGUAAUUGAUGUAUGAGACUUUGUACUAGGCAUUAUAGGGAGUAUAGUUUGUCUGGGGGUGAUUCAAUAAUUUUUCCUUUUUCCAAGUUUCACUUCAAGCUCCACUCCCAUAUAUGUAUAAAUAUACAGGAGCAUAUGUUUGUGACCCCUCUGCUUAUGAAACUAGGACUAACACCUCAUAUUCAAUCUACCAUAUCUGAAAAACCUAUGUAUUUUCAUGCUAUUUUAUUUUAAUAUUUUUUUAUAAGACGUUUUUAUCUAAAAUUUUUGGGUGGCGUGCACUUGACAUGCACCCACCAAUAGUAAAUAUAUAAAAAAACGAAAAAUAUUAAAAACGCCUGUAGGUAAAAUGUUACCGUUUUUCGCCACAGCCACAAACUUGCUAUGUCUGUAGUGGUUUAUUGAAUGGUUUCACGUGAUUUUUUGACCGUCAUAGACCUAGUAUGUCCGUAACGGUUCCACCACAAACAUGUUAGGUCUGUUGCGGUCGAAAAAUACACGCCACUUGAUUUUUUUGGACGGUGAUGAGCCUAUGGGCGAAAACACUGUUUAUUUUCACCCAUAGGCAUUACAUAGUGUCUUCCAUAAAAAAAUACACCAAAAAUAAGGGUGUGGUUUGCAUAAGGUUACAACGUUAAACAAUCAAAGUAAAGUGCACUUCCAAACAUUGUCAUGAAAUGCAAUUUAAGUAUAAAAAAUUCUUAGGAUGGUGCGAAGAUAUAUUUUUAUUUCGAAUUAUAAAAUUUUAAACUCUAAAAAUGGUUCAAAUCAAGUACAUCUAUAUCAUCAUCAUUUUAGCUUUUUUCUAAUUAAUUGAGAUCUGUUACAUGAAUUAUGAUUCUCUAUUCUAUUCUCUUCUAUCGAAGGAUGUGGUUUUUAUAAGGCCGAGGCUCACCUUCAAAUAGUAUUAAAAGAUUUUGUUUCAAUACCGGAAAUCUUUAUUUUGGCCUGAACAUCUAUUUUCUAUCUUUAAUUAUAAAAUUUAAAGCUUCAAAAUUACUGUAGAUCAAGCACAUCUACGAACACUUGAAAAAUCUUGAAACUUGACGCUCAAAAAAUGCAUUACAAGAUGCAUUAUUUCCAAAACUUAAAAUAUAUUUUUUCUCAUGUCCAUGCAUUUUGAGGUUGAGAUGAUCAAUUUAAAGAUUUCUGGACAUCAAAACAACCUCUUCAAGUGAAAUUUGUGAGAUCCACCUUAAUUUGAUUUUUUUAGAGUCUCACACUUAUAUAGACCUUUUCCUUUUUGGAAUGAUUUCAUAGGCGAACCUUAAGUGGCCACUUUGUUUGAACUUUUUCCAAAAACUAAUGACUAAAACUUACCCUCUAUGUCAGUGAAUGUUGACCGUCGUAUGGUUCGAUUUGGGCCUUCACGCUCACAAUUGUUACCCAUAAACAUGCAUGGAAAUAUGAACGCAAGUGGAACGCACCUGCGGGAGUAUGCUGUACAACAACUCCUUUAGGCAAAAGAGUAACAUGGAAAGAUUUUUAUGUUCCAAAAGUUUGAGAUCCAUCUAAAUAUGGUUAAAUGAAUAUUUUCAAGGAAAUAAAUUUAUUUUUUAAGUUCUUGAACACCUAGAUCUCACUUUUUGAAGAUUAAACAGUUCUUGUUUAAUCUCGGGGCAUUGAUUUCUUUUUUGUUUAGACACAUAGAGGAUCCUAUUUAUUUAUUUCUUUUCUUUGGGGCUGGUUAUUAGGUUCUAAAUCUGCAUUCCAAAAACUUAAGGUCCAAAAAAUAUUCCGAACAUGAAGUUUUACCCCAAGGGAAUAUGCAGUAUGCUCGCCUAGGAGUUACAAAUCUUUUCACUAGAAGUAUUUCUCCUCUCAACAAAAAUAGUUUUAAUAGAGGCAAUGACCAAAUUGGGCCAACUAAAAUAGAAGUUGGACCUAACUUAUUGAAAAGUGGGGCAAAAUUUCAUCUAUUAUCCAAGUUAUAGCCACUAAAAUUUCAUCGAUUAUCCAAUGUAUAGCCUUUAGACUUUGGUCUAAAAAGGUGAUGAUCUUAAAUUGUCCCUAAGCUUAUCUCAUGCUUGGGUAAAAAAAGACUAGGUUGUUUGAGGUUGACAGCCAAUGUAAAAUUUUGUCAAAACUUAAGCCGAUCUCAAAUAAUAUAAUGAUGAUGGUGAUGAUGAUCCAAUGUAUGGUUGACAUCCUAGCCAUGAGACUGAAACAAAAUAAAAGUCAAAUGACAGUUUUUCAUUGGGAAUCAUCUCAUUAGAAAUUAUUGAUGUUUACCAAAAAUAUUAAAAAGAAAAUCGCAUGUGUGAUAGUCUUGUAGAGCACACAAGGCACUUCUUCGGCAAAAGAUGGAUUAUUUUUAGUACUUCCAACUCCAUUUCUUUUUCGGAUGCAUUAUCAUUGUGCAGUUAAUAUAUAUCAACCAGAUAUGAGAAUUGAUAGGCUUUGAUGUUGUUUGCCGUUGUUUCUUUUUCCAAUGCAUAUCAAUAAUCUUCUCUCCUGUAAUUAUUCUCUGAAUAUAUAUGCUAUUAUGGCACUGGAACUAGUUUGAGUGUUGAGUUUUAUUUUGCCUAUCCAAAAUGCCUUUUGCUCCAAGAUCACUCACUUUUGAUUUUCAGAUCUAUCUAAGCUACGGGCCCACAAGCACAAGAAACGAAAAAAAGACCUACAUAGGUUUUCUCUUUCCACGAUCGCAAAAAAUCACUUUUUUUUUUUCAUUCACCAAAAUUCCUGCUUGUGAUUUCUGUUUUUGUUUUUUAUCUCUCUGAUACGCGGUUAUUUUGCUGGGUGCUAGUCAUCGGUAAUCUUAAACUGCGUCACGAUCUCUACUUUAUUUGUCUAUGGAAGGUGCUUUAUUGUCUCAAGCAAGCUCCAUGUGCUUGGUUUAUCAGUUUCGUCUAAUGAACUGCCAAAAGGGGAAAAUCGUCUCAACAUAUUUAAGAACAAUACGUUCUGAUGAAGCAUCCAGGCUAUAGCUUUCUUAUUUCUUUGAGCUUGUAGCUCUUCACCACAAUUAUGUUAUCCUCACCAUUCAAUGGCAACACAUGAGCAUCUUGAGUUCAACUUACAAAUAAUGAGGUGAUCGAUACACUUAUCAAGCUGAAUAUUCAGCAUGAACAGAGUAUAGUUUUACCUUUCUGAUAGACUACAUAUACAAGUGUUUGUAUUGUAGAAUUGUGUCGCUAUCUCAAGAAUCAAUGUCUGUUAUGCAAGUCAUGUAAUCAGUCCCUUCAGUCACCUCAGAUAUCUCUCUUGAUGGUUGCCUUCUUAUCAUGUAAUGCAUUUGUCAAUGCAUGGCAUGAGGGCUUCAUGUGCAGUUCUCUUAAGAUCUUCACUUGACAGCCUAUGCAUAUUUCGAUUGGACAGCAGCCCAGAUAGAAGGGAAUCCACAACUUGGUACUGUCAUAUCUUUGCGAUUUUGCACCUUAUUGAAAUGUUACCAUUUGUCCCUUGUUGUCUUCUCAGGCCAACUCGUAAAGCAUAUGUUAUUCUACUUAACACAUUCGCCUUAACUGGGAUGGUAGAGGAGGCUAGGACUCUGUUCAAAAGCAUGAGAAGAGAUAAGUAAUAUUUUCUUCUCAUUUAAUUUCUGUUUUGCAUGAGCAUCAAUCCAUGAUUGAUCGACCCUAUUAAUGCUCGACUCUCUCUCUCUCUCUCACUCCAGGUGCCACCCUGAUCUACAUUCAUAUACCACCAUGUUAGCUGCAUAUGUGAAUGCAUCUGAUAUGGAGGGAGCAGAGAAGUUCUUCGUGAGAAUGAAGAGCGAUGGUUUUGAAACCAAUAUAGUGACAUAUGGAACACUCAUGAAAGGUAGCCAAAGAGAACAAUCUAGAGAAGAUGCUGGUUAUAUAUAAUGAGAUGAGGAUGAAUGGGAUCAAGGCAAAUGAGACCAUCUUUACAAUUCUUAUGGCAAGCAAGAUUUGGGAAGUGCCAUUGUAUGGUACAAGGAGAUGGAGUCCAAUGGGUGCAUGCCUGACCAAAAAGCAAAGAAUAUCUUCUAGUCUCUGGCAAAAACACCAGAGGAACAAAAGGAAGCCAAGGAACUGGUGAGAGAUGCCAUGAAAGAACACCUUGAUGGAACGGUUAAUGAAUUGUAUCUUGUGUCCGAUGACGAUGAUAAUAGCAAUGGUGAUGGUGGUGAUGAUGACGAUGACGGUGAUGAUGACAUUGCAGCAGAAUAUCCUUUUGUGGGCGACUUUGAAAAAGUUGCACAAGAAUAGAGGCGACAACUAUCCAUAGUUCCUGUUGACACUAAAAGGCAAGAAUCUCUAUAGUAUAGCAGAGCUGAUUUGAACUAGUUUCCAUGUAACAUAGUCACAAACUGAUUUUCCUGAUAUCUUCAGCUAUUCACCUUUUUGAGAAGCCUUUUUUUUUUUUAAGAAAAUAUUUUGUGGAAUUUGAUGUGAGAGUCACACAUGGAUGCCUACAUAUUUGCAUGGAUUUAUUGGAAUUUAGUCACAUGAUGGCAACUUGUUGGGAAUUUCUCUAUCAAGUUUCAUCAAAGAAAUGACAAUCACAGGGAGUUAACUACAAUGGUAUUUGGAUCCAUUCUUUGAUAUCAUUUUGUAGGACAUCAUUUUUGUCCAACAACUGUUUCUUCUAUCAUAAUCUUUUCUUCAUAAAAUGACAAGUCAUUCAAGAAAUUUGUGAAAUGAGGGGGCAUAAAACUAACAAUAGGACAACACAUUCACGUGCCUUUUAGAUACUUAGGUGAAGUAUUUCUAAUUUUGAAGCUAAUAUUUGCUGCUUAUCUGGAGUCUACACACUUCCAUUGAAGUCUGGUAUUUAAAGAGAUGUAUUAGGGAACUGUUGAUUCUAUAUCUUAAAACAUCUCUAAAUGAAGUAUGCAAAACUGUGUCCGAGGUGUAGGGUUAAAAAACUAAAGGUUGUAUCCAAAUCAAAUCAUGAUAAUCUGUCAUUUUUCUUUUUACAUCUAGAUCAUUUGAUAUAACUUUGAUUCCCUUGAAACAAAGAUCAUAUGAACAAUUGGUGAAAGUUAAAAAGAAAUUUUAGGGGUACUCCCUAAUAUCAUGUGAAAGAUCUAGCUUUCGAUCAUCCAUUUUUCUUAUACCUACAUAAUUAAAAAUCACUUUGAUUAUCCUUAAAACAAAUAUUACAUGAUAAAAAUGGUGAAAAUAAAAACAUAACUUAGGAAUCCUCUCUAAUAUCAUGGAGAAUAUCAAUCUUUGGAUCAUAUCCUAUAGACUUCAAUGACUCUGUUAACCCACUUAACACUUCAAAGAUCUCAAUUGAUCUUGAGUUCCUCUUGUCUGAAGAGUAAAACUUAGCAACACGACCACUCACCUCAGUUGAACUCCACCCUGGUAUCUUUUGAAUCCCUCUCUCUCUCAUCACCACCUUCAUUCUUGCCGCCUCUUUCCACCUCCCUGCCGCUGCAUAAAUGUUAGAUAGCAACACGUAAUUUGCAGGGUUUGUAGGCUCUAUCUUAAUAAGUUGCUCUAUAGCAUAUUCAGCAACAAUGACAUUACCAAAUGUACGACAAGCUCCAAGUAAUGAGCUCCAAACUACAUUAUCCACUUCAAUAGGCAUCCCUUUUAUCAACUCCAGUGCCUCUUCAAGCCUUCCGGCUCGGCCCAAAAGAUCAACCAUACAUCCAUAAUGCUCAAUUGUAGGUGUAAUAUGGUAGUCAUGGGUCAUAGAAUGGAAGUGUCUAGAGCCUUCAUCAACCAAACCGGCAUGUGUACAUGCACAUAAGAUCCCGACAAAGGUUAUGCCAUCCAGUCUUUCUCUCUCCUCUCUCAUCCUUCUAAAGAUUGCUAAUGCUUGCAGUCCAUGGCCAUGCAUUGCGAGCCCACCGAUCAUAACAUUCCAAGUGACCAAGUCUCUCUCUCUCAUCUCCUCGAACACACAAACCGCUUUCUCUAUACACCCACACUUUGCAUACAUAUCGAUCAAUCCAUUAGAAAUGAGUAAGUUUCCCUUAAAUCCAUUAUUGUUAGCAUAAUUAAAGAUCCAUUCACCCAUCUCCAGAGCCCCUAAUCUAGCAGAAGCUGACAAUACAAUCACCAGAGUCGCAUCGUUAGGCUUUGUAUUCAACCUCAGCAUCUCUCUAAACAUAUCCAGAACCUCACAGUGAAAACCACCAUGUGCAUAGCCCCCAAGUAUAGUGCUCCAAGAAAACACAUUCCUCUCAUUCAUCUCUCCGAAAACCUUUAAAGCUGACCCCAAAUCUCCAUUUUCAACAUAACCCACCAAAAGUGUGUUCCAAGAAAUUACAUCUCUCUCCCCCAUUGAAUCAAAAAGCUCUCGAGCCGCACACAUGUCCCCCACUUUCGCAUAACCCGCAACCAUGACAUUUGAAGAGAUCACAUCAUUCUCGGGCGCAAUAUCGUAAAGGUAACGAGCAGAUACCAAAUCAUUAGAAAGUAUAUUGCCCUGUAUAAUUGCGGUCCAAGAAACCACAUUUCUUUGAGGCAUUUGAUCAAACACCCAAUGAGCCGAGAUAAUCCUUCCACAAUUUGAGUACAUAUCAAUCAAUGUUGUGCCCACAAAUAUGUUAUCUUCGAGCCCGGUCUUAACAAUUAUACAAUGAAUCCAUUCUCCUUCUUUAAUGGCCAAUAAUUUAGCACAGGCUCUCAGAACGAAAGGGAAGGUGAAAUUAUUAGGUCCAACAUCUCUAGAAUGCAUGCAUUUGUACAACUCUAGUGUUUCUAAGAAAAAUCCAUUCUCUACAUAUCCUUUGAACAUGGUGUUAUAGAGGACCACAUUUGGUUGAAGCAUUUUGUCGAAGAACUGACGUGCGUAAUCCAUGCUAUGUUUAAUGGCACAAAAGGCGACGAUUUUCGGGGGUAAGAAGCAAUUCUGAGAGAGAUUUUGAGUGAAAAUUUGGGCAUGAAUCUGGUAGAGUUGCUUAAGGGUGCUACAUCUUUGCAAGAGGGAGGUGAGUCUCUCUUCUAUGAGCCUACCAUGUGAGAGCUUAGCUAGUUUUAGAGUGAUCUUCCCUAUUUUAGCAGAGGUGGAGUAAUUGAGAGGAGGUAAUGCCUUGAAACAGUGAAAUUUCCUCCGGGUUAGUAAGUGGAAAUACCCAUAAUCAUUUAUAUAACCGUCUCUAAAAUUUAGAUUGGUUGUCCUAGAUUCAUGGACUCUUCAAGGGAUUGCAAACCCUAUGAAAGGGUCGGGUCAGGGUCCAGUUAACCUGUACCCUACAAGAUCCAGAGUUAGGUUUGUGUCCUACAAGGUCCCGAGUUAAGUCCAUGACUUACACAUUGCAGCGCUGUUGCUCACGGGAGCAUGCGUUUAUAUUAUGUUCUCAAGGGAGUAUACUGUACAUUUACUCCUUUGGUUAGAAGACUUACCUGAGAAAUUUCUGCUCGAGCUGCCUAAAAAUACCUCCGGAUUUUUUUCAUGGUAGGAUUCUUUUCAUAGUGUUGUUUAUGUAGUGUACCAUCUCUAUUUGUAAAAAGAAGGUUGCAAUGUUUUAGACUAUUUAUUUAGUUAGAAAAUAAAGAUUUAACAUGUCUUUUAAAACAAUAUAAAAAAUAUGAGCAAUCUCUUAAGAUAUUAUCAAAUCCAUGUCGUCUAAAUAAAAUUGAUUAUUUCUACAAUGCUAUAAUUUUAUGUAAACUUUUUGAUUUUUCACCAAAAAAAUUUAGAUUUUUAGUUUUCUACACUUGAUCUCACCCUUCAAAAAUUAAAGCGUCUCUGUUCACUCUUGAAACAUUAUUUAUUUCAAGCCCAUAGAGAAUGCAAUUUAGAAACGGGUGAGGUUUGUAUAAAGAAUCAAACCUCAAAUGGUCAAAGUAAUGCGUACUUCAAAACUAUACCAAAAGAUGUAAUUUGGGUACUAGAAAGCCGGUGGAAUAAAACAUAUUCUCGGCUUUAAUUAUGAAAUUUAACGCUCUAGAAAUAGUUCCAAUCUAUUAGAUCUAUAAACAAUUAAUGGAGGAUAAUGCAUCACAACGUACACUCUUUUCCUGCAUGACACCUUGAUGUCGAGAUGAUCAAUUUAAAGGUUUUUUAACAUUAGAAUAAAUUUUUCCGUUCGGCUUUUAAGGUGCAUAUUACUUCCAUGGUGUAAGAUUGACACAUUAUACAAACUUUUUCUUUUGGAAAAUUUUUAAUUGAGUUCUCAUCUGGAUGAAGAGUUUACAUCUUAUAAAAAAUGAGGUCCUAACCCUACAUGGACAAUAUCCUCCCUACAAGGAAUGAGAUCUUUUUGCCAUUUUCAAAUGCAGGCGUACUUUUAUUUGGCUGUAUGUUAGUUGAAUAACCAUGGCAUGUUUUAUUAUGUUGGCUAAGGGAGUCAUUUGUGUAAACACAGGGGCAACUUGUGUCAACCAAAACUCACAGCUAACAUUUUAGUUGGAGCCCCAGUUUUAAAGUCCGGGUUUCCAUGAAGCAGGAAACUUUGAAUGGACGGUCAAGAUUCUCCAGGACGCGGGAAUCGUGAAUGGACGGUCGAGAUUCUCUAGUUGGAAUUUUCCCUAUCAAAUUUAACCCUAUUAAUUUGAAGGCGCCGCAUUAUUUACUCUUUUUUUUUUCUUUUUAUAGCACCCAUCAAGAAAUAAAUUUUCUCAAAAAAAAAAGAAAAAAGUAGAACCCAUCUAAAAAAUGAUUUUCUCAAUAAUAAUAACAAAGCACCCAUCUAUAAAAUAAUUUUCUCAAAAAAGAAAAGAAAAAAAAAAAAAAGACAACAAUCUAUAAAACAAUCUCACAAAAAAAAAGAAAAGUAAAGAGCACCCAUCUGAAAAACAAAAUGGAUUAUUUUAAUGACUUGUAGAUCACAUGGUAGUUGAUGUCCACCCCUUGAAUGUUUGGUAUGAACACAAAGUCCAAGUAAGUAGAUGUCUGAGGGAUUUUCUAAAGGUAGUUAGUUGUGAAGCAAUUCAUAAGUUGCUGUGAACCAGACCUUAACCCAUUUGAGCACAGCACUAGAGAGGCAUCGAGAGGGCUUCUAAGGAGGUCCAAGCUCAGUCUUCAAUGGGUGAUCAAGCUGAGCCAUUACUAUCUCAUGGCGUUUUGGACACAGACCGACUCGAGGACCUAUUAUCGAGCCAUCAGCUCACGUGGGUUCAGCUCGGGAAGGCAGCGUGGAUGGAGUCCAAGUCCUUGUGGAUUCUCUCAGGUCCAUCUAUUGUAGUCUCUCUCUUCAAUUUCAUGCUAAGUGUUGUCUCUCAAAUGUUCACUGGCCAACUUGGUGAACUUGAGCUUGCUGGUGCCUCCAUUGCUAGUGUUGGGAUCCAGGGUCUUGCCUAUGGGAUCAUGGUAGUGUGAUGUUUUCACUCAUUAUCUUCCUUCUCUUUUUAAAAUUAGGUAAUUAGUCAAUUUUUAUCUAUUUUUUUAUUGUGAUACUAAUGCAGAGCCUUAUAAUUAGGGCCGGCAACAGGCCUGGCUUGGGCCAGGCCAGGCCAGCCCUAGUCCCCAUAGGACCAAAUUGGGCUUGCCCCAGCCCUAACGGGCCAAAGAUGCCAUGCCCCAGGCCCUACCCUACUCUAUCAGGGCCUGAAAGGAAAAAUUAACAAAAAAGAGGGCCGGACCAGGCCAGGUCGGACCGGGCUGGCCUUAGCCCAAACCCCACCCGGCCCUGCCCAGCCCUGCUCAGCCCUCAGGCUGCAUUUUGUGGCCCAAGCCCUAGUUUUUAGGGUCAUAUUGUGAUGAAUUAAAUUUGUCAUAACAUUACAAAAUUGCUAUCAGCAAUAAACCUUAUAGCGAUAAAAUAAAAAUAAAUUCAAUUUAUCAUUGCUAUCAGCAAUAAACCUUAUAGCGAUAAAAUAAAAAUAAAUUCAAUUUAUCAGGUAUUUAAAUGACCUAUGCUAAUUCAGACGACAUUCAAGUUCCAUUAAUUCAAUUAAUCGGACAAUUUAGUAUCGACCUGUAAAGAAUUAUUUGAGUUUCUACAGGGCAGCCAUGACCGGGCCAAAGAUUUUAUAGUUAAUCCUUCGGGCCAGCCAUGAACAGGCCUAAGAUUUUAUAGUUAAUCUUUCAGGGCCAGCUAUGACCAGGCCUAGGCAAGGGACUAUGUUCCAGCCCUACUUGGUCGGGCUCUUCCCCUUUGUUGUUUUCAAAUAAAUCAAUAAAUUUUGAGAAAUUUAUCAAAAUGCAACUGAAAGAUUAACUAUUUAACACUUCCCAUUUGUGUUUAAUUCCAAAGAGCACAUCAUUAUCAGAACAUACAUAAUUAUGAGUUGGAAUAAUUGAAAAAUGAGUAAAUCGUUAAAUAGUUCUUAAGUGUAUUUUGAUAAAUUUACCUAAAUUUUGAAAUUAUAGGUGAACAUUAUUCAAGUUUCCAAAAUCCACAAAAAUCAGUAGAAAUCUUCUUAAUUUUGAAGAAAUUGGUAUUAAAACUCAAUUAUGGCUCUAACUGCGGCAUUCUUUGAAAAAAAAAAACAGUUGGGCAUGGCAAGUGCUGUACAAACAGUAUGUGGGCAAGCUUACGGAGCGAAAAAAUAUAGCAUGAUGGGGAUCAUAUGCCAAAAGGCCAUGAUCAUCAUGCUCCUGACCUCCUUCGUGCUCUCGUUCGUCUACUGGUUCUCUGGGCCCGUGUUGAUAGCCAUAGGCCAAACAGAGGACAUUGCAGCUCAAGGCCAGAUAUUUGCUAGAGGUCUCAUCCCUCAGCUCUUUGCAUUUGCUCUGAACUGUCCCCUGCAAAGAUUCUUACAGGCUCAAAAUGUGGUGAACCCCUUAGCCUACAUGGCCGUAGGGACAUUUGUGCUCCAUGUGCUCCUGACCUGGGUUGUGGUCUAUGUCCUAAGUUGGGGGCUGUUAGGGGCAGCCCUUACACUGAGCUUCUCAUGGUGGGUGCUUGUGCUCCUCACCUGGUUCUACAUUGUCUUCUCUAACAAGUGCAAGGAGACAUGGACCGGGUUCUCGUGGCGGGCGUUUUCUGGGCUUUGGGCCUAUUUCAAGCUCACAAUCGCGUCCGCGGUCAUGCUAUGGUGCGUAUAGAUAUGUGUUAUUUACCAAACUUUAAGUUUUAAAAAAAUAUAUAUUUGAACUUCAUAGCACUCCCCAAUACAUCCAAUUUGAUAUCUAAUGACUUGAAAUAAUUGUGACAUCUUUAUACUAAAGAUUAAUGGUCUCAUAAGAUACAAUCCCUUUUGUAUACCUCACUAUCACCAAAUGAACAAAUUUAAGAAAACAAGAAACCAAUUUCAAGUUCUUAGAAGACUAGAUGUAGUCACUUAUGAGAUGGACAGCCUAUAUUCCUCGAGUUCAAAAACCAGUUUUAUUUCAAAUAUUUUACUUGACCUCCAUCAUGGCUAGAACAAGGUGCGCCCCAAAUUUAAGGUGAAUUAAGUGCCUCUUAAGGCCUUUAAGGCCCUCAAAAUAAAGAGGGCGCACUUUAGAGGUCUGCCCAAGGGCGGAUAAAAUGCUUGAUUCAAAUAUUGUUAUUAGAGGUUAAAAUAAUAAUAAUGAUAAUAAUAACUAAUAAAUAAAUAAACACUAUGCCACCAAGCAAGGAAGGAAGUUGAAAAAAAAACGCCUUAGGACGGCUAGGAAGUUGAAAAAGAAACACCUUAAAACCACCAUUUUUUUUGUCUUUUAGCUAGGCACUAUCGAAUUUUGAAGGAAAAGUUUCAUAUAAGGUGUUAAUUUUAUUUUGUCUUUAAGGGAGGGACUAUCGAACUUUGAAGGAACAGGUUCAUAUAAGGUGUUAAUUUUAUAUUAUAAAAGUAAGGUACACCUAAAAGACCCACUAGAGAAGGUUGUUCUUGUGCUGGAAAUCCCUCAAAUCGAUCAUCUCGACUUUGAGAUUCAUAGACAUAAAAAAUUGGGAUUUCCGGUCCUAAAAAUAGUUCAUCUUCUAACACAUUAUAUGGACCGUCCACUUUCAAGCGUUUAUAGAUUUGCUUGAUCGUCACCAUUUAUGAAACUUUAAAUUUCAUAAUUGGGGGCAACAAUAGAUUUCAUAUCAAUCGCAAGGCUUUGCGAUACCAACACUGCAUUUUCAGCAUAGCUUUGAGGUGCACCCUACUUCAAUAGUAUAAGGUUGACACUUUGUAGAAACCUCACCCCACCUUAAAACUGCCAUUUUUUUUAUCUUUUAGGACGUGUUUGAUAAUAAGAAGCAAGAACAUGAACUGGAAAUUGGAGUUACUGAAGAACUGUAAAUUAGAAGUUCCUUAAGAAGUUAAUGGUUUAUGUGUUUGAUAACCUCCCUUGGAAAGUUAAGAAGUUUAUAGUUUCUAUGUUUGAUAACUCUUGAGAUAUAUGGUAAAUAUAUUAUAUUUAUAUUUACAUAGAUAAUAAUUUAAAUAGAAAUAUAUAAUAUUUAUAACAUACUAUAAUACAUGAUAUACUGUAUUUUAUAUUUAUUUUUAAUAUAUAUAUAUAUCUUAUAUUACAUAAAAUAAUAUAAUAUAUUUUAUUAUAUAUAAUAUNNNNNNNNNNNNNNNNNNNNUAUAUAUUAUUAUAUUAUAUUAUAUAUAUUAUUAUAUUAUAUUUAUAUAUAUAAUAUAAUAUAUUAUUUUAUAUGUAUAUAUACUCGAGCUUAAAAGGUGGGAACUUCAACAAUAAAAAGGAGUUCUCAAAUUAUCUUCCACUUUUUAUCAUUUUUUAUCAAACACACAACAUGAAUAAUAAUAGGUAAAGUUCAUUCUUCCUCUUCUAACUUCCUGUUAUCAAACGCACCCUUAGGGUAGGCGCUACCAAACUUUGAAACGACCUAGUCUGAGGUAUCUCCUCUUAUUAUAGGGAGUAACCCCAUGAAUUAGUCUGGGGUAUCUCCUCUUAUUAUAGGGAGUAACCCCAUGAUUUAGUCUGGGGUAUCUCCUCUAAUUAUAGGGAGUAACCCUAUGAAUUCGAUUUUUUAAUGCUCAAAUGAGGAUUGCUAAUUUUAAAUUAGAAAUAUAUAGUAAAAUGUUUAUCUUGUCAAAAACAAUAGUGUAUAUUAUGAGACUUUCGGUACGAAGUCAUAGUCAUCAUUAGUCAUCAAAUUCAAAAUCGAUUACCUAAGUGUGUCACAAAGUUUGACAAAAAAAACUUUCUUAACAUUAGGCACCAUCAAUGGCAAAUCCCCAGCUGUUCACUUACAUAUCAAUGGCUAAGGGUGACCAAAGAUAAACACUCUUAUUGUUUACUCUCUCCAAAAAGACAACAUUGAGUCGAAACCCCUUUUUCCCUUCCUUCUUUUUUUUUUGGUUUCUUCUUCUUUUGGUGUAUGCAUAUCAAACAUUCACUCCCCUGGAAAACCCUGUUUGGGAGUGUUUUCAGGGCCCUAAAUUUUAGAAAUGCAACCCAUAAAGAAUUUUAAAAACAGCAGUAAUAAUAACAAUAUCCAAAUAUUGAAUUUGAAAUUUUUGGACAAUUAGAUCUAAAAGUUUAAGAAUACAUAUCUAAUUUUAUUUUUAUUUUGAAAUCCUCAUGAGGUGAUUCUAAAGUGUAUGUACCGAAUUUUGGAUCAAGAAACUCUUCUGUAGUAAGUCUUUUGACUGAGGAAGUAAAUAUAUAGUAUGCUCCUAGGGGGAGUAUGCUAUACACAUUCGAAAUGGAAUAUUGCUUAACAUGUAUAUGAGAAAGUGUAUUCUAAUUUCUAUUAUGCAAAUUGUGGCGGGUAGGAAUCGGGCUUGGAUCAAGUCGGUAGAGGCUAGGUUUUCAUCGCACAAUAUCUCAAAUUCCAUUCCUAGGCAACCUUGUCAAAAAAAAAAAUUAUAGCUGGUGCAUGAAUUAAAAUUGUUCUUAUAUGUUGAUAGAUAAAACAAUAAUAUAAAAUUUUUUUCAACUUGCAGCUUGGAGAUAUGGUAUUUUCAAGGGUUGGUGCUUAUCUCAGGACUCCUACCUGAUCCCGAAGUUUCCUUAGAUUCCAUUUCAGUUUGGUAAGUUCCUAUUUUUUUUUUUUUUUUUUUCUUUUAGUUGGCCACGACAUAAAGAGUUUUCCAAAAUAUUGUAUUUGAUAGGGAAAUUCGUUAAAAUGCAUCACAUUUUAUUCAUUUUUUAAUUAAAUUGGAUAAGAUACUAUCAAAAAUACACGUGAUCAUGAUUUAUGAGUUGGAAUAGUUUAAAAUGGGUAAAAUGUUUCAUAAUUAUUAAGUUGGGUAUAUUAUGAUAAGUUACCCUUAUUUAAUUGCUACAAAUUUAAUUUUUUUAUGACAAUUGUAUUUUUUUAUUUCAUUUUAAAUAUAAUUUCCUUUUGUGAGUUUCUCUACCUUGAUUUCCUGUUGUUCAUGUUUAACUCCUGUUUUUUCUAAUUUAAAAAUUGAUAGAGAUGUGAGGGACAAUUUGAAGGGCGUGAUGUUUUUAUUUUUUAUUUUUAAAAAAAAAAUUUGAUUUAAUAGGGGACUUGUUGUUGUUUAUGUUAAUUAUGUGCCUAGAGUGAAAAUCGUCGCCAUUUAUGACAUUUGCUCUUUUAAACGUGCCUCUUUUACAAACAAUCGCAUCCUAAACUAAACCAAAGCUUCACAAUUUAUCAACAAUCAUUGGAUUAACAAAAAGAAAAAAAAUUCAUGUUCCACUUCUAGUGAUUAUAUAAUAAAAUUAUAAAAUUAAUUAUCUUUGGUACAAAGAGUCACAAUUACUAUUAGUUGUUGGAUGUGAAAUUGGGUGAUUAAGCAUGUACAAUAGACCUAUCAAAUUCAACAAAAAAGUUUGAGUUGCGAUACAUACCCCAGACGAUUGAAAUUCAUAUAUGAUGGCCAAAAAGUGACUAUAACCUCGUUGAACCAAAAAUAAAUUAUAUUACAUAUGCAUGUUAGAUAACUUAUACACCAGUGUUUCAAUUAUGCAGUAUGAACUACCUAAACUGGGAUAUGCAGCUCAUGUUGGGCCUAAGUUAUGCAGCAAGGUAUGUAUGCAUUCAUUAGGGAAUCUCCCAUUAUUUGUGGUUUGCCCUUGUAUGAGUAUUAUAUAUGGAAAGAGUUUGCAUAAGGUUGCAACCUUAAAAUGUAGAAUUAAAAAUGCACUUCAAAAAAUCAUCGAAAAAAGUAGUUUUAAUGUUGAAAAGCCGUCUAAUUGAUCAUCUCAACAUCGAGAAGUACGAAUAUGAAAAAAAAUGAUUUUGAGUCCCAGAAGUAGUGUAUCUUGCAACACAUUAUCUAGACCGUCCAUUUUCAAUAUUUCCAUAUGUUUAUAGAUCUACUUGAUUUUAACCAUUUUAGGAGUUUAAAAUUUUAUAAUUAGAUAUGAAAAUAGAUUUUGAGAUAAUCCUAAUAAUUUUUUACACCAAAAUUACAUGCUAUGAUGAAAUUUAGAAGUGUACCUUAAUUGGAUUGUUUAAAGUCGCAACCUUAUGGAAACCAUACCCAUUAUAUAUAUAUAUAUAUAUAUAUAUAUAUGUAUAAAUUGUUUCAUGUUGGCCGGACCACAUUUCUACAUAUGUGGUCCAGGAAGUGUACAGCAUCCAUCUUAAAGAUGGAUGCAAUUAGGUGCUCCAUCUAUAAACAAGGAAACUAACGGCCCAAAUGUUUUCUUACUAGAAUUAUUAUUUUUAAUUUUAAAAAUUUAUUUAUUUUUUCAUAUUCAUGAUCUCCAUGUUAGAGAUUACAUAUCCUUAAAAAUUAAGUCUUAAAAUCCAUUUCAAAAGUAGAUUUAUUAAGGGGCCCGCAUUUCUACAUAUACGGGCUUGGCCACAUAGAAAUGGGUCAGGUGGACUCCGACCCAACCUUGUUAAGUCCAGGCUGGGCAGGAUCAAAACCUAGUUGCGUCUAGGUCAAGUGGACCUGGACUCUGUAGGGUCCAGGUCAAAUGGAUCCAAACCGAACCCCGCCUAUUUACCAGUUGGAAUGCACGCUCGUUUUGCUUUUCUUGGGGUGCAUGCCUUACUCUUUUAUAUAUAUAUAUAUAGGAUGCGCGCAUGUGUAUAGUUGAAAACUAAUAAAUUCUUUGCUGCUAUUAAACAUAAAUUUGCAGCAUCCGAGUCGGAAAUGAGCUCGGGGCACAGAAGCCGCGAACCACGAAAUUCUCAGUGGUGGUGGUUACAACUACAUGUUUUAUUAUAAGCUUGGUUUUGAGCAUUGCAGUUUUGUUGUUGAAGAGACAAUUGAGUUUAGCCUUCACUAGCACUGCUGAAGUGAUUGAGGCUGUUCAAGCCAUGACUCCUCUUCUUGCAUUAUCUGUUCUCCUUAAUGGAACACAACCCAUUCUCUCUGGUAUAUUACCAAACCCUUCAAGCUUGUAUAUGCAAAAAAAAUUACAUUCUGUUUCUACUGUUCAUGUUUUCUUCAGUUCUUUUUCUUUUGUUCUUUUUCAUAACAAAAAUGGACGACUAACAAAAGCCCAAUGGGACUUCGCUUCCUAGCCCAAGCAUUGGGCAUUUAUCAAGCAAAACCAAGCUCAAAAGCACCAACUAGAGAGGUCAAUGCCAAGGCCCAUAUGGGCUCAAUCCUCACUUGGCCCAUCAAUACUAUGGCCAAAAUGAGAAAACUGCAAUAGAACUUGGAGCAAAUUUUAGUCAAAUUAGCUCAAAUUACAUAUAAUUCAUGGAGAAUGUGUAUCAGUUUCUUUUCUUUUCUUUUUUCCUUUUCUUUUUUCCUUUUCAUGUUUGAUGCUUGGUUGAGGAGGUAACAUCUCCAAGAUUUAGUGCCAUUGAGAUACACCUAGAAAAGGUUUUAGCCAAGGGAGUGAAUAUAAAAUAGGAAAAGUAUCCAAUAAGACCGUUUAUUUUUUUAAGGAAGGAGGUCACAAUUGUGAUUGAUCAUUAAAUAUAAAAUUGGGUGGCUAAGGGUUUAUGCUUGGUCGGGUACAAAAAUCAAAAUAAAGUUUGUUGAGUUGUGUGAUACAACUCUAGCUAUCGGAUAUCACAUCCAAGGAUCGAAGGUAAUUAUGAUCUCCUUAUACUAAAAAUAAAUGAAAUUUUGCUUACCGUAAAGAGCAGCUGAAGAAUUAUAAAUUUGUUAAUGCAGGAGUUGCUAUUGGAUGUGGAUGGCAAGCCUUGGUGGCUUAUGUUAAUUUGGCAACUUAUUACAUAAUUGGCCUUCCCAUUGGAUGUGUUCUUGGCUUUAAGGCUGGACUAGAUGCAGCUGUAAGUUGGCUUACAAAAACAUAAAUACUUAAUGUGGUAGAUUAGAUAGUAAUUUCUCUUUUUUUUAUUUUAUUUUAAUAAAGUUAUUAAAAUACACCUCAUAGAUGAACUAUUUAAUGUUAAACCUGAUCUCAUUUGAUUUAAUUUCAAAAAGUCCAAAAUACACAUGAUGAUACAAUUUAGAAAAAAAAAAAAACACGUGAUAAUGAGUAGGAAUAGUUGAAAAUGGAUAGAAUGCUAAAUACUUGAUAAAUCCGACGUAUUUUGAUGAAUUCUACUUUUAUUUUUAUGUUAAUUUCUUAUUUUAUUCUUAAUUUAGUUACUUUUUAUUCUUAAUUCAAUUUGGACAGGGAAUUUGGUGGGGGAUGAUUAUUGGAGUGGGACUACAAACUGCAAUUCUUAUUGUUCUAACAGCUAGAACCAACUGGGACAAAGAGGUAAUUCUAGUAGUAAGCAUGAUUUCAAAGUUUUCCUCUGUUCUACUUGCUUUCAAUGAGAAAUCUGACCAACCAAUAAUUAACAUGAUCCCCCAUCCUUUCCUUCUCUCUCUCCAAUGGCCUCACAUUGUUUAAGUACACACUCUCUCUCUCUCUCAUAACUUCACAUUGUUAAAUUUACUCUCACUCUAUCUAAUAACCUCACUUUGUUUAUAUUCUCUCUCUCUCCUCCCCCCGGGGUCCCAAAACCAAAAAUAAUAAUAUCUCAUUGUUUAAAUGUACUCUCUCUCCUCCCCCGGGUCCCAAAACCAAAAAAAUAAUCUCACAUUGCUUAAAUGUACUCUCUCUCUCUCAACCUCACAUAGUUUAAAUAAAUUUACUCUCACAUUAUUUAAAUUUAGUCCCAGUCUCUCUAACAACCUCACUUUGUUUACAUUUACUCUCUCUCCUAACCUCACAUUAUUCAAAGGAUGUGGUUUGUAUAAGUUUGAGUUCCUAAAUCAUCAAAGUAAGGCACGCUUUUAAAUAGUGUGGAAAGAUAUUUUAAUACUGAAAAUGUUUGUGAUGGCCUGAAAUUUAUUUUUAUCUCUAAUUAUAAAUUUUAAAGUUUCAAAAAUAGUGUAGAUCGAGCAAAUCUACGAACACUUGAAAGUUUUGAAAAUUGACAGUCUAAUACUGCAUUACAAUAUGCAAUAUUUGCAAUACUUAAAAUCCUUUUUUUUUAUGUCUAUAUAUCUUGAGGUUGAGAUGAUCAAUUUAAGGAUUUUGAGCAUUGAAAAAGCCUCGUUUGAUAAACUUUUGAGGUACACCUUAAUUGAUUGUUUAGGGCCUCGCCCUUAUAUAUUUAAAUUUACUCUCUUUUUUUGGGGAAAUCGUUUAAAUUUACUAUCUCUUGUGCCAAUCUUGAAAAUAGGGUUCUCCUGAAAUUGGGUUAUCCUAAAACUUGUUUGUCCUUGGAUAGAGGUGUGUGUUGUUUAGAUAGCACCUGAUAAGAAAUAGGGAAUAUGCAUGUCCCUUGUCUGGAUUGUCAAGAAUAUGUGAAUCAAUAGAUAAUUCAGUUGCGGUUUUUAUAUUACUACUCUACAUUUAAUUUUAUACUUAUUAACUUCUCCUAUUGAUUCCAAACUUCAAUAUUAUUUAUUAAUUAAGAUGAAAUUUUUAUUUUUUUAUUCUUUUCUGUUGUAUAAUAUUAUAUAAAU